GUUCCUCGCGGUGGACGAGAAGGUGACGACGCAAUAUAUGGACGAUGAUCUUUUGUUACGUGUUGCCAACAGAGUUUUCAUAUCAGGGACACAUGUGUCGGGCUGUACAACAUCCGUUGCAAGAAUCGACCCGUAUGUGUCGGGACAGUGGUGGAAAACUAGUAGCAGUUCAGUCAGAGGCGCCCUCUAUGAUCCUGUACAAACGCGUGUCUCAGACAAAUAAUCGUAUCUACCCUAUAAUAUCUGGGACUUUGGUCUAGACUUCAGGUGAUCCGGUCCGGGUCUUUCUGCCUUCUGCAACGAUCCAUGCAGCUGCAGGAGCAAAGAAUUGCUGACGACAAAGAUGGAGCUCAGGGCCAUCAGUCCUCCUGCACGAACACGCCCAUCACCAGAUGUUACAUUAUCAAAGUUAUACAAAUAUGUCAAGGUGACGUAAGCAGCCAUGGCAAUUGUGCUCUCCAGGUGAACAUUAUACCUGAAAGAGAUGGUGUCAUGGCGAAAUCAAACUGAGGCAGUAGCGCCCCAGCCGCGACGGGGAUGGCCAGUAUGUUGUAUGCCACCGCCCAGGCCAAGUUCUGGUGAACUUUCGCCAUGGUUGCUUUAGAUAGGGAUAGGGCAUCUGCAACCUGUGCCAGAGGGAUGAUCGUCGUCUAUCAAUGCAUCACGCCACUUGAAUUAGUCUUGUAGAAAUCAGAGUGCAAAGAAUUAUACCUGUGAAAGUCGGUUCCCUAGUAGAACUACUGAAGCUGCAUCAGAGGCGGCAUUCUCUUUCGAGUGAGUUCCCAUAGCUAUUCCAACAUCAGCAGCUGCCAAAGAGGGUGCAUCGUUUAUUCCAUCGCCAACCUGUGCAAACGAUGAAUUUUGUCAGGCUCUAAUUUUUAAGCUGUGCACAAAACUUAGGUGUGUUGUUGAUAGUAGAUCAAAGAUAAAAGAUAAAACACCACAAUAAAUUACCAUGGCAACUCUAUGCCCCUCCCCUUGCAAGGUUGAUAUAAUGCCCGCCUUUUCCUGUGGGGUGAGGGAUGACCUUCUGUUUUCACUCCUGAUUCCAACAGUUUCCCCAAUGCCUUCCACUGCCUCUUUCCUGUCUCCUGACAAUAUAUAGGUUGCGAUUCCUUCCUGCUGUAGCCUGUAGAUUAACCAGAAAAGGAAUGACUGUUACACACUGCUUGAAUUAUAGGGAUAUGACUGCAGGAGACACAUCACUUGCAUGACAACAAAAAAGUAGCAUCCGCAACAUUUGAGGUUCUGGCGAGAUGAAACCAUUUUCCAACAUUAGAGAUCAAACGGGUUUUCAAGUUUAACACAUUUUGACAAGUGGGGCAACAUGAUAACUUCUGAACAUGUUCCUGGCAGUUAGGGGAGUUAUAUUUGCACUAAUAUCACAUUGAAAAUACAUUUACAAUGCAAAAGAUGUCUCCAGUAAAUACCUGUCCACAGUUGAUUUUGCAUCAUCACGCAGAACAUCUGAGAUAGCAAUAGCACCUAUUAUUCCUUCUCCUUCACGGCCAAUAUAAGCGAUUGAUUUUGACUGAUUCGAAGAUGAUGCUUCACUGGAAGGCACAAACUCUAGGCGCUUUCCAAGAUCACUCAGUUCAGUCGGCGACGCCUUGGUUUCAAAACGAUUGUGGACCCAGUCCAAAUUACCCACUGCAACCAAACGCCCAUCUACUUCAGCCAAACAGCCAAAACCAGGCUGUGUAAGCUGCCCACUUGUCGUUGGAAUAUCCAGUUUGCACAGUUCAGUCUCCUUCGUUAUAGCAUUCGCAAUAGGAUGCAAUGCUGUUUUCUCCACUGCAGCAGCAAGACGAAGAAUCUCCAUCUUGUCAUAUGCUAAAGAAGCAAUAGAAGUAACAACUGGUUUUCCUUUCGUAAGCGUCCCUGUCUAAGAAUCACAAUAGAGACACUACUUAUAAUACAGAUACAGAAAUUCUGCUCCGAGAAAGAUAAUAAAUGAAGUCAUAUACCUUAUCCAGAACAAUUGCAUCUAUCCCAGCCAAACGCUCCAAAACAUCACCUCCUCUAAUAAGUAGCCCUCUUUUAGCGCCUGCUUUCAGAUUAAAGAAAAAGUCACAGGGCGUUCUUUAUGUUGAGCAAGUUCACCUGUUAGCUUUCCCGCCACUCAUAAAAGACAAAGUACGAUAGGAGUUGCUACAUACAAGUACUGAAUUGAGGAACGUUUAGUCAAUGGCAUCAAUGCAGAAGAACCUUAAAUUGCAUUCAUGCAGUGUAAAUUGUAUGAUUCAUUGUCUCAUCAAACAUUGAGAAAAAAAGAAUACAGACACUUGGACAAAGAAGUUACCCAUGGAAGUUCCUAUUAAGAUAGCUGUAGGCGUAGCUAAUCCAAGUGCACACGGACAGGAAACAACCUGCAGGGUGAAAAUUAUCGCAAACAAGCAUUAAAAGAGGCAGUUCUUAAGAGUAAGCUACGUGAAACAGCUGCUCAAUGGUCAACCACCUCCAAACAGGACAACAACAUCGAGAUUUCAGGAUGUUUUGCAUGUGCAAUGAGCCACAAUAGAUAUGACGAAUGAUCAGUGAGUUACUGUAGUCUGGCUAUGUAAAAUUGUUCCAUAAUUUNNNNNNNNNNNNNNNNNNNNNNNNNNNNNNNNNNNNNNNNNNNNNNNNNNNNNNNNNNNNNNNNNNNNNNNNNNNNNNNNNNNNNNNNNNNNNNNNNNNNNNNNNNNNNNNNNNNNNNNNNNNNNNNNNNNNNNNNNNNNNNNNNNNNNNNNNNNNNNNNNNNNNNNNNNNNNNNNNNNNNNNNNNNNNNNNNNNNNNNNNNNNNNNNNNNNNNNNNNNNNNNNNNNNNNNNNNNNNNNNNNNNNNNGGUUACUUACUAGUACAUCCACAGCAAGUUUCAAGCUCAAAAGCAACGAGUCCCCAUCAGGACCAGAAAUAUCAUUUAGAAGGACCUCCGGAAAUAGGUGUGUGCCCAAUAAGUACCUUGGGAUACAUAGAAAAAAUUUAAACCAAUAUUUAUAUAGCUGCAGCAGUUUUUUGUAUGCUUUUCUCUCAGAAAGAAAAGAGAAGGAGCAGCAGAGCAUACCAGAAAGAAAAGGUUGCUGCAGACAACGUCAUAACAGUAUACACAAAUGGCCCUGCAAUCGCAUCCGCAAGCCUUUGUACAGGAGCUUCAUGUGCUUGUGCAUCCUCAACCUGUUCAGGGACAGUAUGAAUAGAAUUACAAACAUAUUCCCCUUAUAGUAUAAAAUAAUAAAAUAGUGAUGCGGUGUAUACCUACCAUGCGGAUUAUCUUAGCAAUUGUUGACGACGGUCCAGUGGUUGUGGCUUUGAUCCUUAAAGGUCCAUCCUGUAGAAAAGACAAAAGGAUGGAUUGGUAAAUUAAUUUAGCUAAGUUUGAAAGGAGCACAUGCACUUCAUGAGAGAGAGAGAGAGACUUAAAAAGAUUAAAGAGAUCAACCAGGACAUAAUAAGAAUGAGUGAAGGGACGCGGAUUUGGUGAACAUGAUUCCACGCGCACCCCUUAUGAAUAGUAAAUUCAGAAGAAGAAAAAACCUAGAAAAAUCUGAACAUUUUUUGUAACAUACAUAGUAGACCGGUACACUCACGUACGAAGUUUCACGAAUAAAUGACAUCUGUGAUAUUCUGGGCAAAAAUGACAAAAUCAAAGCUAUAUUAACAAACACUGUUUGAUUCAUAGUGUUUUCACUAUCGUAAGGUCCCAAUUGUAUUUUCUUCACUAAGAAUACCACCGGUGUCAAUACUUCACUUAACUUCACACGUGAGUAGAAUGGUCGACCAAGUUUGAUACCACAAAAUUUUAGAAUUUUUAAAAUUUUCCUAGUAUUUUCUUCGAAUUUACUGUUCAUGUGGGUGCGCAUGGAACCAUGUCCACCUUUGUAUUUUCGUGAGUGAAGAGCUUAUUGAAAUGUUAGUUACGAUUCCCGAUGAUUAACUUCUACAUUGACUAUGAGGGACAUAUAUACAACACACAGAUCCUCAAAUUGUAAUAAAAUCACAAUUGAUUAACACAAUGUAGUGGGAGUGAAGAUCAGAAACGGGAAAAGAUACCAUACUUUCUGGCAGAAAUUAUUAUGUGCAUGUACAUACCCAAUUAACAGUUCCAGAAAAUACAGGGCAUCCUUUUUCUUUUGCUACCGGCAAGGAUUCUCCAGUAAGCAUUGAUUCAUCCACAAAACUUGAUCCUCCAGUGACAUUUCCCUGUAUGAAUAGGUGCCAAUGGACCAGUAGAUCUAUCAGAAUUCUAUGCAAGGACAAGCAGAUGUACAGAAGGUGCAACAGAAUGAUGACAAUCGUGUCUAUAUUAACGACCAUUGGUUCCCUCGCGAAAGAAGAAAAGAAACUAGAACACCCUUCAAACAUUUUGACUCGUCCUAAAAUAUAUACUAAUAACUAUUUUAAUCGAGUAGCAAUUUCGCUCAAACCAUUUGUUAGAGACAGCAUAGAAAUACACAGAGAGUAAGGAUAUCAAAGUAUGUGAGUAAGCAAUACAUGAAACAUCAUUGAAGUCAGCAAAUCAAUACCGAUCAAUGUGUCUUAGAAGUCUGAAGAAUUAAUACAGAAAAGGGAAAAGGACCCACCUCCAAAUGUCUUUUAGCACAUUUAUGUCACUUUGUAAGAUGCCUUACCACAAGGAAUUAAUGGCCAUACAGGGGCUCAUCAAAUUUAGACUUCAUUUAUGUUUAAUCACAUAAAUGUUGUAUCACUGCACUGUAAUUGUAAGAUACUAGAAAGUACAAAAAAUAAACCAUGGCUCCUUACAUCUACAGGGAUAGUUUCUCCUGGAAGAACUAAUACUGAGUCUCCAACACGGACAUCAUCAACAGGAACUUCAACUGUUAUUGCAUCUGAAUUCAAAAUGCCAUCUGAAGGAAGGUCGUCACUUGAGGAUGUAAUGACUAGCCUCGACUGAGGAGAUAAGAGUGACUGCCAUAUAAUAUGAGACAUAGUGAGUUGUAAAUACAUUAGUUAUAUUGGUCAAGCAAUUAUAGACAGGUGUACGUUACUUCACUAACUAUCAAUAUGUGUUCAACAGUUUAUACAGAUUUAUUAAUAAAAGUAUCGGCCUCUUAUUUUAGCUUCUAGUAAUACAAAAAGGAAAUGUUGCAUGUGUUCAUACAAUGCGUAGAUAUUUACUUACAAUGAGCUCAUUCAUAUCGCUAGAUGCCUUAAGCCUAGCACUUUCCUCAAGAGAUCGUCCCAGAAGUACAAAUCCAAGAAGCAUGACCUGCAUGCUACAAGAUGAAUUUCUUCAACAAAACUUCUUAAAAUAUAGUUCAACUGUUGUUUGAUCAACUGCCAAAUCAAAUGAAGUAAUGUGGAAGACAGAAAUAGGACUUGUAUGUUGAAUGAUUCGAUUAUACAGUGUCUGGCUUGUUAAUAAAUAUGCCCGACAAAUAAAUGUCGGACAUUGACACAGAUUUUGCUAAUAGACUCAAAAGCAGAGCAACUUCAUUAACUGACAGCAAUACAGUGCCAGGGCACAAGAGCAGUGGCAGCAAGUACAUAGGAGUUCCAAGUUUGUUAUCAUAUUUUUUCUUUGUUAUUUUCAUGCAUGAAAGAUUGCUCACCGGUUCAUCGAAGAACGUUGAAUUCCAUGCCAAUUCAGGGUUCAGCAAGGAAACCUUCAUACAAGAAAAUCUCUAUUAGACUAUUAUUAUUCUUGAGUGUCUGAAAAAAAACAUCCCCUAUAAGUUCACUUACUGCACUAAUAGCAAAUGCAGCUGCAGACCCAAAUCCUACAAGAGAAUUCAUGUUGGGGGAGCCUUGCUUGAACGCUCUUAGACCAUCAAAAAGUAUAUCUGAGCAAGAGUUACAUUUACCACAGAGUGAGAAAGAAUUAAUAAAAUACCUGAAAAACACAGUGCAAGACCAUGCUGGAAAUCGGUUUCAGUUCGAACUUGCAAUUUGUUUUUAAAAUGCAGUUUUCUUAACUCUAGAAUAAAGAAUGCACAAUCCCUCUGACUCUGUCAUUAUGUCUCUGUUUCGUAGGAGGCAUUUAACAAAUGUCUCUUAGGGCCAGUUCUUUUGGGCGAUUCUACCAGAAUCGCCCCCUUCCCCAGCUUCUCUCAGAAUCACCACUCCAUAUGUUUUUUACAAUCCUAACUAAUUAGACCUUAACUAGAUAGGAUUGUAAAAAAAAUAUGGAGCGAUGAUUCUGGGAGAAGCUGGGGAGAGGCGCGAUUCUGGGAGAAUCGCCGAAAAGAACUGGCCCUUAAGAGACCGCCAUAUCAAGCAAAAGCUCAUGAAUCAAAAACCAAUAUUGUACUAAUGAUGACUAAAUGUAGAGCCAAAGUUCGAAACAUCUUGUGUCGAUACACCUACCUGGUGAAUACUGAGUUUUCUAUCAUUCCUUUGAACUGAUUUUAUAUGUUGUAAUGCACGUACAAUCACUGUCCUUGUGGAAACAUAGCUAAUAAACAACAAGUACACUAAUUAAUGCAUAAGAUUUUGAAGAUGAUAUUGGAGCCAAGUAUACCUCUACCAGGCCCAAACAAUGCCACCAUAGCAAGGCCACAUUUCACAUACGAGUUAUGCAACACAUCCAAAAAUGUUCCUGCACCGUGCACAAACCGGUCAUAUAAUAAGAAUUCAAUAGGGUGAGCAUCAGUGGCCAAUCUAGCGAGCCUCAAUAAAAUAAGCAGCCAACUGAACUUGGUUUUUUCCCGUUCACGACUUGAGAUCACGCUCCGGUGGUUUAAAUUAAACUCACCAUGGCCGAUGUGGAUGCCGAACGAGUGGAGGAGAUGGGACGCGUGCGAGCCGCAGCAGAGCGCGACGAGCGUCCAGGCGAAGGCGACGCGCCCACGGCUCCGGGUGAGGAGCUCCGACUUCCGGGCGGCCAUCUCCCUCCACUUGAGCGCGCUCUCCGCGGCGCCCGCGGUAGCGCCCCCUCGGCGCGCCGCGGACGGGAACCCGCACACCGUCAGCCUCUCCGCCAGCUCCUCCCCGGCGCCCGGAGCCGGGGACCGCAGCCGCACCGCGGCCGACUCGGCGAGGAGGUUGACCGCCGCGUUCUCCACCCGCGCGUCCGCGGCGAGGAUCGACCGCACCCGCGCCGCGCAGCCGCCGCACAUCAUGCCGCUGACGUCGAGCAGCACGGUCGCGCUGGUCCCCUCCUCCGCCGCGGGGGCCACGUCGAGGGCGGUCGAGGCGGAGGGGUCGGCCGCGGCACGGGGCGUGCCCGCUAAAAGCUCGCGCGGGAUGAGGCGGAGGCGCUGCUGGGAGGCGGGAGCGGAGCGGCGGCUGCGCGGCAGGCGGAGGCGCCGCGCGAAGAGGAGAUGACUGGCGUUGGGAAUUUGAGCGCGCACGUGGAGGAGGGGAGAGGCAGGAGCGGUGGCCAUGGCGGCCAUCCGGAGGUCUCGCCCGGAUGAGAGCCUCGGGUGCCCGGCCGCCCCGCCUAGGGUUUGGAGCCGUGGAGGAGGAGACGGGAGGAGGAGGUGGUGGUGGCCAUGGAGGAACGGGCCGAGUCGACGACGAGUAGGUGGUGGGUGGGAAAUGGAGUUACGGAAGAGUGGCCGUGGUGAAGUGGAGAGGGGUGGCGACGUGGACCGCUCGGAGGAGGAGGUCGCCAAUCUGCCAUCGUGGAUGGAUUUGGAUUUUCUGGACGGCGAUCCAUGGGGCCCUCGAAGGCUUCUUUCGCCGUGGAAAACGCGGUGGGUGCUGUUUCCCCUUUCCCGGAGGAAGAACGGAGAACCCCUCUGCCACCGGGAGUAUUCACAGUGCUCACAAUAGCGUUCUUUUUUUUUUAACUUCAGUACAGACAUAUACACGCGCAUACACUCACCCCUAUGAACGUACACACGCACACCCUACCCCUAUGAGCACCUCCGAAAUACUGAGCCGGCAUAUCAUCUUGAGAUUUACGAAGUCACCAUAAGCGCCUCGUCGUCUCCCACUGAAUAUGCAUCGCCGGAAAUCCUGAAAUAAAUCCAGGAAUAAAUGCGAGCACCAUGAUUUGAACCCUGGUGGGCUGGGGAUACCACAGUCCCUCUAACCAUCCAACCACAGGUUGGUUCGCGCUCACAAUAGCGUUCUAGCUGAAUCUGGUCCUGUUGUAAUUUAUUUAUUUUUGCCAAAUUAUGUACUACUUCCUCCAAUUAUUAAACCCAUUAAGCGUCGUGUGUAGAGCGGCCAACUAGCUAUGCACGUCCAGCAAACUGGUUGGCCAAAUUUUUUAGAUGAGCAUGAGGAUUAUUUUUUAAAUGUAUUUUCUUUUUAGAUGGAGGUGAGCAGCUUCGGUAUUUUUUAAAUGGAGGUCAAAGUGCCGCUCGCUGGUAGGCUGCGGUGGUAAUUUUCUCCUUUUUUAGAUGAAUGUAAGGAUUUUUUUUCGAGAUGUUUUUUUAGACGAUGGUGAGGAGAUGUUUGUUUAGACGUAGGAGAGGAUUGUAUGUAUUUUUUUUAAUGAAAACAUGCGCACAACUUUUUUUCAAGCUAGUCCAAAUUAAUUGUCGUAGCAGCUUUAUUACAGGAGUACCUAUGUUCCUGAAUGUAACUGAACUGCCAAAACAUGUUACUCCUGAGUGAUCGGCGCCGGUGCGUCGGCCCAAACUUUUGGCCGGCCUAUUUCCCACCGUAUAACAUUAAAACUCUUGUAACCAUCCGAUGCGGGUUAUCUUCCUCGUCCAUCCCUAAAGCAAACAACCAAAAAGGAAAUCUCGCCUCCACCCAAAAAAAGCAGUGCGGUCAACACCUUCACACCAGGUCAUCCACUCGUCCUCCCCCGGUCAUCACUCUCGCCACCCUCGGCCUCUCCGUCGAAGCUCGCCGCCUUUGACCUUGGCAUCAAAGCAGCGCCUAUGGUUGUUCGCAGCCUUGCCCUCACCAGUUGUAGAUGGCACGCAACCGCUUGCAGCUCCGUGUGGUCUUGGUCGCAACCUCUCCCGCCGUGUUAUGGCUGUGCUCGUCAAGCUCCGACGGGGGUACCGCCCAUGGCUAUCGGGUCAGUGUCGUGUCCGGUCGAAGCAAUGACUGAUCACGGUUGUAGCACUCCAGCAUCACGGUUGUAGAUCCCCACCGAUCACAACUCCAGCCAACAAAGAAUUAGUCCCAACACCCUCAGUUUGUUGUUACCCAGCAAAGAUGCUCGCUAGUCGCAUCAUACUUGGUUGCCGGUUCCAGCAAAAUGAGCAAAUUGGUGCGCCGGUCAUAGCUCUGUCACCGUCUCAUAGGCUAGUUCCGGCAAAAAUGUUUGUCGGUCGCAGCAUCUUUGGCUGUUGGUUCCAGCAAAACGGCUUGCUGGUCGCGGCUCUGUGGAAUGCCGGUUCCAGCAAAUCUCGCACGCAUCACCACCAUCGCCGCCAUGGUCGGUUGCAGCCAUUUCAUAGUCGGUUGUAGCACGCGAGGUUGUCAGUUCCAGCAUCUCAUCUGCACCACAUGGACACCCAUGGCCGGUUGCAGCAAUCCCUUGGCCUGUAGUAGCUUCUUCUUAUGUCGGUUCCAGCAAAAAUCUCGCACCACAAUGCCGCCUAUGCCGCCGGGUGAUGUCUUGGCCGGAUGCAGCAUUUUUGUGGCCGGUUGUAGCGCACGCGGAUGCUAGUUCCAGCAAAACACAUCGUGCCUUGGCCGUGCGCACCACCACCGCCGCUCAUUGUAGCAGUCGUCGCCGGCCGUUGUAGCAAGUUCGUGCGCGAAACCACCACUGCAUCGUUGCAGCGCCCUAAUGACGGUUCCCGUAGCUUCGCCAACAGGGACUCGCAGCUAUAGUUGGGUGGAGGCCAUCGCUGGGAUCCAUGAGGGUUGUAAGCAGCCAUGACUGCGAGGGAUGUGAAUUGAGGAGAAGGAGGGUUGGGAGAGGGGCUCGUUGGCCAGGACGGAGAGGCGACAUUGGGCGCCAAGGAGGUUGUCUGGUUAAGCCAUGGAUGAUGGCGAAGAAGGACAAAAGGAGAGACAUUGAAUUGAGGAAGAAGAAGGUUAACGUGAGCUCGCAGAAAGUGAGUGGUGAGACCGGCCGAACGCUUGGCCGGUCGGUCGGCCACAAACGUUUCCCAAACGAAAUACAUUUACAAACAGAGGGUGUGGUAUAAUUGUGUGCCAAAAAGGUUAGAUAUCUAUAAAAAACUGCAAGAAGGUGUUUCUUAGUUUUAUUGUACGUACUCCCUCCGAUCCAUAUUAGGUGUACUUAGGAUGCGUUUGGUUGAAGGUGUCGUAUGAAUGGGUUGGGACCGUUCAAUUUUUUUGGGAUUGAACCAUUCAAUUCAUGUGUUUGGCUGAAUAUAAGUGGUGAGCUAAUUAUUUAGGACGGGACCACCAGUCAUGCUCACAUAGUCAUGCAUGCAAAGGGUGGCCAUUUGAUUCGACCGAUUUGGUUGGGUGGAACGGUUCAGCAUCUUCAUGGCAUAUUCUCUUUUUUUGGCUCGAACCAUUCAUGUGCUUUAUAACCAAACAUGUCUAUUUUCUGAACGAUCCCAACCCAUUCAUGACCGCCCUUGCAACCAAACGCACCCUAAAUCAGCGACGAUUAAUAUCGAUCCAUAUUAGGUGUACGUACUCUUUUUCUUCAUGGUAAUAUGUGUCUCAUUCAUAUCAUAAAGAUCAAAAUACAAGUCACGUAAGGACCGACAUGACAAAACUGAAAAGAUAGCAGAACAUCUCUGAGUUUGACGCCACCGUCCGUCACCUGCCUCCGGCACCACCAUAGCAGCCACUGAAGAAAAUAAUGACGAAUCACCUCCUCACCCGAGCUUGACAUGGCUCCAUUGCUGAUAUGCAGCUUUGCGGACCUCCAAGGUGGCUCACCAAAAGUGAAGCCCUUGUCUUUGAACGAACCAGACCGGGGCAAUACCCCGGACACGCCAUCGAACUCCAAAUCUGGCACCCCACCACAACUAAUACGCCGAAGGAGGAAAUCAUACCCGCUAUCCACGAACCACGAACAUAGCACAUGUUCCAAUCUUCUAAAUAUCGUCGAUACAGACCACAAUCUGCAUCCGCUCCUGGACUACCUCCCAAGCUCCACACCGACGCUGGAGCAAACAUCGUCGCAACGACGGAGCCCGAGGACACAGGUCCACCACGAGGAUGCAGCCGCCGUCACGCCAUCCUUACUUGAAUAGACUGGUUUCCAAAUUCAUCCCCAAUCAUAGGACCGAUGGCCUUGUCAGAGAAGGAUUCGAAGAAUCUUUAUUCAGCGCUGUCAUCGUCGUCGCUGAAGCAAGACGAUGAACAACCUAAACAUCAAGACUAUAAGAGAGUAAAAACGAUCCACACGCGUGGAUCCGGCGAUCCCUCUCACCAUUGACGAUCGGGGUCGUCGGCGGAGGGGGGUCACCGGAGAACGGCGCUGGAAGAUUGGACUCUCCUGGCGGCGACUAGGGUUCCAGCCGCCAGGAGCGAGAGACGUGAGGAAAAACGAUUAGUCGACGAGAUUUCCUAGGUGCGUCUUCAAACUAGUAACUAUUAGGCGUACGUACGUACUCCCUCCGAUCCAUAUUAGGUGUACUAAAUCAACGACGAUUAAUACCGAUCAGGGGGAGUACUAGAUUUCAUCUCACACAACGUAUUUUAACAAAAAAAAUCAUGAAUGGUUUCGCAAAAAAAAAUCAUGAAUGGAAGUACAUUUACACUUUAGAGCAUGCUUGAUUUGAUGCCAAAUUUUUGCUUGCCAAAGUGUGGGCAAAGCCAAAAAAAUUUGGGUGUCAAUUUGUUGCCUACUCACUCUUAGUGAUCUAAACACUCUUAUAUUUCUUUACGGAAGGAGUACUAAAUUGCUUUGCCAAUCCCAUAGUUAGAGAGCUGCACGAACAUGAGGUCUCUUAGCGAUUUGUGACCAUCGGAACAACCCGAAAUUAUGAUCACCCGGUUGACGUUACAACAACCUGAAAGUACAUCAUCUGCUAUGAGUAUGCUUAAUACUCUCAUGGUUUAAGAAAUUAUGUAAACGUUAAAUUUUGCGUGAUUCUACUAAUAACUGAAUGACGAUAUGAUCUCGGAGUAUAUAUCAAUUGGUUGGGUCUAUUCAACAUAUGUGUCGUUCCAACAACGUGUCAUCAAAGUUGCCUGCAUCUUUGUUACAUAACUAUACUCAUGAUCAGGAAAAUAGAAUUAUCUACAACACGCUAGUCUUAGAGCUGAGACUAGAACUCAAUUUUACCUUUUAUUAUCCCGCACAUGUAUAUGAGUUUUUCUAUGAGCCUCCUGGUUAUGCGGACUCGAGAACCAUUGCAAUUAUAACACAUACAAUAAACAUCAAUUACGGACAUGGAAAUAAAUACUCCCUCUGUUCAUAAAUAUAAUUCUUUUUAGAUAUUUCAAUAUGGACUACAUACGGAGCAAAAUAAGUGAAUCUAUGCUCUAAAUUAUGUAUAUAUACACCCGUAUGUACUUAUAUAUAUAUAUAUAUAUAUAUAUAUAUAUACAUAUAUAUAUAUAUAUAUUAAAAUCUAUAAAAAAGACUUAUAUUUAGGAAUAGAUGGAGUAAUAACUUCUAUUAUUGCCCCCAGGGCAUAUUUUCUUCAGGCCGCAACUGACAUGAUACUUCGACAUCAUGACAAGAUGAUCAUAUUUGUUGCAUACAAAUACCAGUUCAACUACAAUGAUGUGUUGGAGGCGGAGAUACAUGCAAUGGUGCAAGGCAUGGCUCUAGCCCUGCAAACACAUUGAGCUUCCGAUCAUUGUGCAUUCAGAGACGAUUCACUAUUUCGUUCUCCAUAUGGCCAUCUAGCAUUGAAGAUCAAAGAGUUGAGAGGUGUUCGGAAGUUUUAUUUCGCAAAAGCUUCAUCGCAACCAGAAUAGUGUAGUAGAUUGUUUGGCAUGAUAUAGCCACACUGGAAGUAGCACCGUUGUCUAACUACACAGAGGACCACAUGUAUGGAGGAAUUCUUGCCUCUUAAUUGUAACUCUAUAAUCUUGAAUAAACUCCUCCCGCCGUUUUCUCUCAAAAAACAAACCCCUACCCGAGGCAAAAAGAAGAUGCUUGAAUGCCCGUACACCUAUCCAGCUUGUCAAAUAGCCAUUGAUGCAUAUAUUCUAGCUUGACACUGUUUUUAUAUACAAGGUCACUAUCAAAAUUACAAUUUUCAACUAUACAAGGCCACUAACAUCAAUCGAGGUAAAAUUGAUGAGGUUUACCUCGUAUUAGCAACCGAGGACAUUAAUACCCCUUGCAUGCAUGUGGGAGUAAGAAGCUUAGUUUUUAUGUACCACAUUAAUCAACCAACGAGGAGUGAGAGGGUUGUCUUGUUGUGCGUUGAAGAGGAAAAUACACAUUAAUUAACACGUCGAGCGAGGAGAAAAGACAAGCUUGCAACAUUAGCUUAAGUAAGCGUUGAUUUCUAUCUUGAUACCUGUAGUAUGGGUUUAUGGCCUUGUAUACAAAAAUGAAGGGAGUACCUUUCAGCUUGAAAGAGUUCACUCUCCACUCAAUCCCAAUCUUCGACAUCCAUCUAGAACCCAUCAAACCCCUCCGAUUUGGAAAAUAGUUAUAGACGAAACGGUAAAAAAAAAAGGUCAUCGGGAAGCUCAAACCGCACCCCGCGCCUACAUCCAACUCAAUCAAACCUGUAAGCGACCACCUCACUCAUUGCUCCCAAGGACGUGCAAUUACGGAGGUGCAAUGUUGCGUCCUUGUUUGAGUUUUUCUCUUUGCGGUGUUCCAAGUUCCAAGUUCAUUGAUUUUUUAUUUUUGCAAAUAAAGUUUAUUUUAAAAUUGUUAAUCCGAUACAACUUCAGUUAUUUUACUAUACUAGUUUAUGUAGUCCAAUGAUUCCUCAACUUCGUCUGUUCUCUACUCCGUCUUUUGCUCUAAAUAAAAAUGAUGCAUGAUACCUGUUACUUCAUCCGUUUUAAAAUAGAUAACUCAAUUUUAUAUUAAGUUUAGUACAAAGUUAGUAUAAAGUUGGGUCAUCUAUUUUGGAUGAAAAUGGACAAAACUGGUCCUUAUCUGAAUCUUCAACACAAAAUGGCCCCAAUCUGGAAAAAAAAUCACGAAAUGGCCCCUUUUGCAUGACGCCCGAGACUAGGGCGCCAUGCUAGAUAGCAUGACGCCUCAGGCUAGGGCGUCAUGCUAUAUGGCAUUGGUGCCCUACGCCGGGGCGCCAUACUACAUGUCGUUAUCAUGGUGCCCUUGCCCGGGGCGUCAUGCUCUCUGGCAUGGCGCCCUAGCCCCGAGCGUCAUGUAAAAGAGGGCCAUUUUAUAAAAUAUUUCCUAGAUUGAGGUUAUUUUGUGUUGAAGUUUUAGAUAAGGGCCAGAUUUAUUCAUUUUCACCUAUUUUGAAACGGAGGGAGUAGACGGGAGCUGCAUGCCAAACAAAGGAAUUGAGUUUUACACAUGAUGAAUAUCCGUAUCUUUUUGAGGAUUUCUGGCAAAUUUCGUAAUGCCACAAGGGCCAAACCGCAAAAGUUCUAAUAUCUCGCGCUUCGAACGUUAUCUCCAAUCUCUCGUCUCGUGUCCCAUCCACGUCUCUCCGGCGUGCCCGCUCCAACUCUCAUCCAAUGGCCUCGCCGCACGCCGACCCGCAGCAGCACCACGCGUCGGCGCCGCCCCUCCUGCUCGCCGUACGCCGCAUCCCGUACCCGGGGGCCCAGCGGCCGCGCGCGCUCCCCGCCCCGGACCUCGCCCCUCUCGCGCGCCGCCUCGACGAGCUCACCGCCGCGGCGGCCGCCCACCCGCUCCUGAAGCCGCUCUUCGACCUCCGCCACCACCUCUCCACCUUCUCUCAGGUACGCAAACGUUCACGCCCUAGUGGAGCUUCGUGAAAACGCGCGCCGGCGAUCUUCCGAACUGACGCCGUAGGCCCGGCCGAUGCGAGGAGCAGAGCAGGAGGCAGAGGAUGGUGGCGAUGCGGCAGGCGGCGUGCCCGCUGGCCGGCGGCGAGGGCUGCUUCGCGGCGGUGCUGGGCGGGUCCGUGGCCGGCAUGGUGGUGUCCAACGGCGUCAACAGCUUCCUCAGCCUCUACAACACCGUGCUCGUCAUCCGUCUCGUCCUCACCUGGUUCCCCAACACGCCGCCCGCCAUCGUCUCGCCCCUCAGGUACACAUUGCAAACUGUAAGACGCAACGCACUAUCCCAGCAGUAGCAAUACAAUCUACAAUGAUGCGUCAGACCAAUCGAACGACACAAGAAAACCACCACAUUUCCGUAGCCAUUUUUCAGUUGCUAGCGUGUACUCUACUGGUAGUGCUGUUUGCAUUGGAUGAUUCAGAGAACGUAGGGAAUUAAAAUUGGUCACUGGCACCUACCACUAAGACGCAAUGAUCGCAAUCACUAUCAUAAUCUUGGUUAGAAGUCGUAAGGAGGCGCGACAGUGCAAAAGCAGAAAGGCUUUUGCUUCACUUCACGGAACAGAUGUACAGUUUGGUUUGGUGACUUUCUGAAGAUGUUGUUGUGGCGUGCAGCACGGUGUGUGACCCGUACCUGAACAUCUUCCGGGGCAUCAUCCCGCCGCUGGGAGGGCUGGACCUGUCCCCCAUCCUCGCCUUCCUGGUGCUCAACGCCCUCACCGGCACCGCCGCCGCGCUCCCGGCCGAGCUCCCCGCCCAGAACGCCGCGUCCGGCUCCGUGCACCCUGACGAGCUCACCGCCAACCAGAGGAAAUGGAUGCGGAGAUUCCGCCCGGGGAAAUCGCAAGAGGCUGCUGGUGCUCGCUAGACUUCAUGCAAUUUUGUGGAGUGCUCUGUAACCAUCAAAUGCAUACUGUCAUUCGGCAUGUCGAAUUACCACUGAGGCCUGUUUUUUCUUCUUCUUCUGAUGAAUGUGUAUGUAGAGGAACCAAAUUGCUUGACUGUAAUGACAUGUUUUUGGUAUCUGAUAAGUUUCUCACUUUGUUGAUUGCUUGAGGAAAUGAAACAAAAAACCCCAUGUCUCACACAUAACAAGGGAAAAUAAACAUUAAGAAACAUAUCGCUUUGGCUUCUAAAUCUUUGAGGAUUGAUGUUAACUACAGCCGUUUAGGCACAAUUCGUUUUAAGAAGCAAAGCCUCCUGGAUCUGCACAGUCAGCAUAUAGUUUCAAUGAAAAUCGUCUUAUAAAAACACCCACAUAAUUUACAUGACAAGGUCAGAAUUUGAUGGUUCUUCUCUGCCACUGUACUUGCUACUGCGUCCUGAAUGGAUCCAAGCAUUCUUGCUGCUUGAAGGGUGAGGUGGUGUUAUUGGCUGAAGCAUAUACUAGUUUACAACAUAUAAUGUACUCCCUCCCUUCCUAAAUACUUGUUUUUCUAGACAUUUCAAAUGACUACUACAUACGGAUGUAUGUAGACAUAUUUUAGAGUGUAGAUUCACUCAUUUUGCUCCGUAUGUCGUCACUUGUUGAAAUGCCUAGAAAGACAAGUAUUUAGGAACUGAGGGAGUAUGAUGCACUAGCAACAUUACUGAACAACUUGGAGCAUUGUCAUAUGUAUAGCAAAAUUCCUGCAAACUUUGUAUGGGGAUAUUCAAGUUCAGGAAUGCUCUGUGGUACUCUGGAUUCAGGACGGAGCUGACCAUUUGAACUACUGAUCAUGCUGGUUUGGGGACUUUUGAGAGGCAAGCAAGAAGUCCAAGACGACCUCGUUGAACCGAUUCGGGUCCUCCAUCUGCGGCACAUGCCCGGUUUCCUUGAAGAUUUCCAACCUCACAUUCUCUCCUAAGCACCUGAAACCAUCAUAAGCACACUAGUAAUCACGCAAGAGGUUAUGCUGCGAUUUGUAAAUUUGCAUCACAGUAUACGUAGAAAAUUUACAGUAUACUGUAUACAUGGACCAUGGUGUGCAGUGGAGCAGAAGUAAGAUCGACCAUUUCAAGUCACUGUCAGUUCUUGCGCUGGGAUAGCUAUGGAUUACCUCUUGACAGCGAAUGCCUUGUCCACAGGGAAUAUCUGGUCAUGGUCUCCCCAGACGAGCAAAACAUCCUGCCAUUCAUAAGAUCGAAUACAUAGUUAACAGAGGUUCUGAAAGAUACACUACUGUAUUUCAGAAACAGAAUACAGUGCGGCUGCGUCGAAUUUGCUCUUCAUUUUGUGCAGAGUUUUACCUGCUCCAAGGGUGUAAGUUGGAACUCAUCUGUCCCUACAGUGAUGGCCUUCAUAAGCUCGAUCUUCUCCUCCCUCUUAUCGCUGAAAAGUCUCUGCAAAUUGACAAGAUCACUGAUCGGUACUGUACUGGCAUUUAUUGAUCAAUUAUUAGUGUAGUGCAGAGGCAACAAUGGAUGGGCCACCUGCACGCCCUCUCUGAUCAGGAAGUCCGGCAGCAUGGAGGUGACCUGCUUCCGGUAGAACGAGAGCUCCAUGAGCCGCCGCGCCGUGCGCGCGUCCAGCGGCAUGAGCAAGUCCGCCGCGCUCGCCCACUCGCCGCCGGCGCGCUCGAGGAACGCCCUGUCGUCCUCCGCCGUCUUGAGCAGGUCGGAGUUGGAUAUCACCACGGGGCCGACCCUCGCGGGCCCCGCCGCGCGCGCCAGGGAGUAGGCCACGAACCCGCCGUAGCUCGUGCCGGCCACGGCGACGCGCGCCGUCGCCGCGAGGCCCGGGAGCGCGUCGAGCAGCGCGGCCAGCGCGGCGGCCUGCGCCGACUCGGAGGGCGCCGGGGAGGAGGGGCAUGGGGAGGAGCCGCCGAAGCAGAGCAGGUCCGGGACGACGACGUGGAAGCGGCGGGAGAAGGGGCCCACCUGUCGGCGCCACUGCCAUGUGGCCAUGGGCCCGAAGCCGUGGAUGAGGAGGAGCGGCGGCAGGCGCGGCUCCCCCGGCGGCGCCCAGUAGUGGAUCGUUCGAGCCCCGCCGCCCUCGCCGGGGUCGCAGGGGAGGGUGACGGUGUGGGGGCAGAGGCCGGCGGCGUGGAAGGCGCGGCGCGAGAGGUACUCCAUCACGGGGAGGAAGCUGAAGCCCAUGGUGGCGCGGCGCCGAGCACGUGCACCAGUGCAGCAGCUGGAGCGACGAAAUGAAGCGGACGAAGUCGACUGGGUCUUAAAUAGCCGUAUAGAGCGGUGGCCGCUCGCCGGAGCACCGACACGUCAAAGCAAAUUCUGUCGGCUCUGGCAUACCUCAUACAGUACGUACGUAUGUACUCUAGAUAUAUCCCCUUCUAUUCAUUUUGAUGACAAGUAUUUCCGGACGGAGGGAGUACGAGUACAAGUGUGGCUAUGCCGAAAUUUCUAGGUUAAAAAUGGGAAACAAACAAUGUGCAGGUGUGUGUGUGUUCAUAUUGAUCAACGAUUUUCAAAUAAUUUGGUGUACACGCCAGUACACCAAAAGGAGUAGCCAAUUAUCGUCGCUGGAUGUUAUAUGGACCUGCUGUAAUUUCUGUUAGUUCUAUUUUUUUUUGAACUACAACGAUGUUUGAUGAAUAGAUCAAAGAUUUCUUAAAAAGGAAAACUCAUAGCGAUCAUCCAAAAAAAAACACUCACAGCAAGGUGCCAUUGAUAUAAAGCAGGGUCAAGCUCAAAACUCCUGUUUUGAUCCCGAGCUCAAAUGCACCCCAUGAACACUACAAUUGACGAAAAAAGAUAAAAAUUCAAAAAAUUCUGUUUUUUCUUUGGUAAAUUUUGACAAAUACUCCCUCCAUCUAAAUUUAUUGUCUUAGAUUAGUCUAGAUAUGGAUGUAUCUAAUAUUAAAAGGUGACUUGAUACAUCCUAGUAAAAUUUCAGCACGGAAUAACAUUUGUGGAGGUCAUGGCAAAAAAAGUAAAAAUCAAUAGUCCAAAAUAUUUUUAGAACUAGCAUUUUUGGAGCAUCGAUUUUGUUUUUUUGCUAUGACCUCCACGAAUGUCAUUUUGUGCUGAAAAUUUUCAAGCAUACAAAACAUUUGUUAAAGUUUACCAACCAAAACAAUUAGAUUUGUUUGAAUUUCUUACCAAAUUUUUAAUUUACUGUUCAUCAGGGUGCAUUUGACCUCGGAAGCAUAUACUCCACGUCCGGUCAAGCUUGUCAUCACCCAGAAGUCCAACGGGACCUCGUUAAACCAGGCACGGUCCUCGAUCUGUGGCAAUGGCAUGUUUUCUUUAUGGCAUCCACCCUUCCUUUUCCAUUGAAACCCCACGGGCCCCGCGUCGCUCCGCAAGGGCGGCAUGGAUGGCGAAUCCCAGCUGCCAUCAGAUCGAUCCUCCUUCUCCACCUCCUCUCCUCGUCAUCGAUGGUGCUCGCCGCUGGGCAAAGCUCGUGCGGUGGCGGCGGCAGUAGGGCAUCUCCCCUCGCGCCUGUUUUGAGCUGGCGGUGGUUCGUCCCCGCAUGCAGCGCCGUGGACGCGGAUCUGGCGGAUAGCCGAGAUGCUACGGCUGGACACGGCGCAGGCAUGCACCACGUUGUGGUGCCCAGGGAACGGUGGCGCAUAGGCACAUGCAACAGAGAUUCACCGCUUCUACUGUUUCGUACUUGACCCCAAGUAAGAUCCUGACGGAUCGUGCCAGUUAAAAUCGACGCCACCGGAUAAAGUACUAAGAAGGUGCGACGUAAAAUGGUCGCGCCCAUCUCAAGUAAGGCAAUAAAGUCCAGUUUAUGUUCUAAUGAUAUUUUUGCAAGGAACCUUCUUUUAGCCAAGCGUGCCAAACCUCUGCUAUUUCAAAAAAAUUCUUUCAUUUGUAUAGGUUUGAGUGUUGAGAUAUACUCCCUCCGUAAAGAAAUAUAAGAGCGUUUACAGAUGGGAGUAUACAGUGUGGUUCUAGAUGCGUGGGAGUAUAUAGUGUGGUUCUAGAUGACGCAUCCGCGUAGGGCUCACAUUAGCUAUUUGCGGUUGUAGAUGAUCAAAGGACGUGACUUGGAACUUGUUCUGUGCGACUGUGCCGACUGUGAUCCACUGAUCCCAUUCAAAACAUGGAUAAGCUGUCCCCUGUUCUCCGUGAAGAGCUUCUAACAGGAUACAACAAGACCAUCCGAUUCAGAAUCGCAGCUAUCUUUAUGGCCAAACACACAGCUGAAAUUACUAAUGUUGCGAAAUCAUGAAUACUCCAUCCAGUCUCCAUCAGUACCAGCUUUGCCAAGAAGAAAAGGCUUUGCCAAAACAACAAUCAAAAAGGGACAAAUCUUUCUCAGUCAAGAUAAGCGGUUCGGCAUGAAUAUAACUGCACUGUGCAUCGUCUGCUAAAUCUGAAAAGGGUAGGAAAUAAGUGCAGCGUUAUUAGAUUUGUUAGGCAGGAGGUGUCGGCUACAGAGUCGUGGCCAAUUUAUUUUUUCUGUCAGUCCAAGCUCUACUACUAUAGAUCGACAAGUUCAUCUUUCAAUAUUGAACAAAAAGGGUGUUCAUCUUCGUCGAAAAAGUAACUGGAACGGGUGCUCGUCGACAGCAUCUUCAAAAAUACAGAUGCAUACGUUCGCUAUGUGUGGUCACUGGUCAGUCAGACAAAUUACAGAGAGCUUGUCGUGGACUGGCUGGACAAGAACGGAAUGCUGGCUGUGUUCGCAAGUCUGUAACUGAACCUGCACAUCGUUUCUGAAUUGACAGGACAAUUUUUCUGCUUUAACCUCUUGUGCUAACAAAUUUCAGAAUUGACCUCGUUCGUUAAAAAAGUUCAAAUCUAACCUUUUUUGGUCAUGCCAACAUCCUUGACGUUUGGCUUACACGGGAGAUGCCAUGGUCCAUGGCGUCUGUACCUGGCCUGAGCUUAGCUGGCGUUGACGUGGCAAAGCGAAACGCCAUGCUCCUUGGCGUUUGGAGGAAACGCCAUAAAUCUUGGCGUUUGGUCCCUGGGCGCUCAGAUUUGACUAGCUGCCAUUGCUGCAUGCACGCACGUCGUCUACCUGCCAUAGCAUGCUUAGGUGAGUGACAUGAGGGCAUCUCCAGCCGUUCGGCCCCCAGGGCGCCUAAAUAGAGCGGCCUGGGGGCGUGCCGGCGCUAGUUCAGCCCCUGGGGGCGACCUAGCUCCCAGUCACGCCCCCACGCGCCGGCCUCAGGAUGCGGGAAAUUUAAACUUGGUCGUUCCCGCUCUCAAAAGACGCCGCCGCAAAUCCGGCGAUCGGACGUAGUCUGGCGUUACAAAACAGAGCGCCCGGCGCGGCUUCGCGUGCGCAACGAUUCACUCGGCGGGGUCGGCUCCAGGCGUUGGCGGAGUCGGCGUGCGCGGGCUCGUCGGUGUCGGAGCUGCUUCGGUGCUGGGCUGCGUCGGCGCGGCUUCGGCACUGCUGGGCGGCGAUGUAGAGGCGUCGUUCGGGCUUGGCGUCCGUGUGGUCGUGGGCGUCGGCGGCGUCGUUGGCAUUGCCGUCGGCAGCUCGUUCAGGAUGAGGCCGCGCUGCACCAGGUACCACGCCUUGAGCUUCUCGUCGUUGCUCUGGAGCAUGUCCGCCCCGCCCAUCAGAAAAGCCAUGUCGGUGUUCCUCUUCUUCGUGGCGACGUUCGUCCGGAGCAGGUCGAGCUUGAUGGCGUUGUUCUUCAUUAGCGACGACCACCGCGCCUCGGUCUUCUCUUCGCGUAGGACGGCCCGGGCCUGGGCGUCGGCGAGGCAAUGCUCGAUGCACUCCUGCACUCGCGCGGUUGCCGCGUCGGCGCUUUUCCCCUUCUUUGCCAAUUUGUGGCCGUCCGGCCGCCCCUCUGACGCGCCCGGAGUCGUCGCGUCCGGCUUGUAUGUCUCCUUGGCCUUGUCAAGGGCACGUCGGACUUCCGCCCACUUCUCGCACUUGUCAAUGCGCUUGUAGACGUGGAGGUGCUUGAAGUCGACGUCUUGGUUGUCGCCCCGAUACAUGGCGAACAUACGCAGCAGCUGCGCGGAGGGACGAACAGUUGGCGGGCGGCGGGCGCACGAGACGAAGAUAUGCGGGCGAACGGCGUGCGCACCUGAUCCUCAAUGCUGGCGCCGCUCUCCGGGCGAGCCGCGACCUCCUCGAUGAUUCCAUGCCAUUUGUCGCACGCCAACUGGAUACGCCCCCAAUGGUUCACCAUCGCCUUGGAGCCGCGCUGCAUGUAGACACCUUUGAAGUAGGGGUCGACGAGCUUCCGCUCGUCGAACUCGGCCUUGAUGCGGUCCCAGUACGUCUUCAAGCUCUGGUUCGCGCAGAUGGUCGAGUCGAGGCAGACGACUUUCCAUGCUUCGGCGAGGCAUUCCUCCUCCUUGGACGCCCACUUGAUGCGCGGUUCGCCUGACCUAGCCGCCCGCUUCUUCUUCUUCUGGCGCCCCUUCGUCAGAACAGGAGCCGGCUCCUCCUCCUCCUCCUCCUCCUCCUCCUCGUCCUCCUCCUCCUCGGGUUCCUGCGCGUCGUCGCCGUAGACGUAGCCGAGCUCGGCCUCCAUGUCGCCGCUAAGGUCCACUACCUCGUCCUGGGUGGCGAACCCGGGAGACACGGCGGCCGCGGCCGAUCCUGUCGCGAUGAUGUCGUCCAUGUCGGCUCCAGUGUCGUCGGCGUCGCCGAGGUGCGAGAAGGGUAGCGGUCCACGGUAGAGAUGGGGCGUCGGUGUGGACGCGUAGGCGGCGGGCGGCGAGUAGUUGUAUGGAGGGUACUGCACACCGACGAAGGCGGACGAGGGCGUGCGCGUAGCGGGGUGACAUGAGGGAAGGUCAUGUUUGGGUUGAACCCACCGUGCGCGUCGCCGUUGACGUAGCCGGGCGACGAUGAACCCCAUGGAGAUCCGGCGCCUUGCUGUCCCCAGGGCGCAUACUGGGCGUGGCUGACGACGGGUGGAUUCAUCCCCGCCUGGUCGACCGAUGAGGAAGACGCCGCCGCGCGUGCCGCGUUGUCGCGGGCCUUCUUGGCUAUGGUCAUGUUCCGCCUGUCGGCGGUGACUGCUUCGCGCCGCUGAACUUCCACCCUCCACUCGGCGUUCGACAGGCCCGGUGGCUUCGAUGGCGGCGCCCUAGGCUUCCUCUGCUUCGGCUAGGCCACGACGCCAGUCGCGGUUGCCGCCGCGCGUGGCACGGCAUACUUUUUCGACGGCAUGGCGUACUUCUUCGCGGCGAGCGGGAGGGGGUUUGGCGGGAGAAAGGGAGAGAAUGGCGGGAGGAAGGCGAGCGAGCGGGAGAGAUGCGAGGGAAAAGCGUCAAGAAACGGCGGGAAAAGGCCCUCGGGUCGCCUCCAGGGUGGGCCCACGUGCCUUUUUCGCUUGUGCCGGCUCCCCAAGCGCCCCCCAGGGCGCCGGGUUCGGCCUGGGUCCGCUGGCACCAGUUUUGGCCCGAGCCGGCGAAAAACGGGCUUCUGGGGGCGCGACUGGGGCCUUUUUUUGGCGUCGGCGCGGCAAAAUCGCCUGGUGAGGGCCUGUUGGGGGUGCGGCUGGAGAUGCCCUGAGACGUAGGUUCUAUGCGUCCAUGCAUGCAUGGAUAAGUAGGUCGUUAUGUGGCGGAGCACGUUGAUUAUCAGCGAUGAGCGGUGACAGUGUCCCUAGUUCUUUCAUGAUUUGUUUUAUGUUAAGAAGAUUCUCUGACCCACGAAUGGUAAAAUCGAUAUAUACUCUACCAUAAGUGCUACUAGAUAGAUUCCUUAACCAAGUCCUGGGUAUUAUCCUUACACUCACCUAUGCAACUGUACUACAAUGUUAGAGCAUCUAUAGGCGGAAACCUCAAACCAUCCCUUAUACGCCUGCGGACGUGCCCGGUCAGUGACUGGACAGGAGAGAGAAGAAAAAACGCGACCCAAUCGAACCCCUUGUAUCGUUCCUAUAUAUGCCCGGGCUGUCUGUGAACCCUCAUAUACAUCUCAAAUAUGGGGAGGAUAUGAGGGCUCGUGGAUGCACCUGGGCAUUCCGCAACGUAGGACGCGGCCCCACCCCGACCAUCUUUCUCUUUCUUUAUUCUUUUUAUUUUUCUCUUUUCAUCUCCAACAAUCAUGUGCAAGUGUCCGGACAUAUGAGAAAAAAAUGAGUAUGGCUGCGCAGGCGGAUAAAUAGGGGCUCAAACGGACACGCCCGGUCACUGACCGGCCGCGUCCGCGGGCGUUUAAGGGUUCAUAUUUGCUAUGUCUGGCUGUAGUGCUCUUAGCAUUCUUGCACCGUAGUUCCCUUUCAGAGUACGGAGUACAUAGCACCAAAAUCACUGAGACGUUCCUCUUUGGUUCUGAAUCGAGUAAAAUGCAUAAAACCAUCACAAUCAUGUUCGUAAAUGCAGAAAACCAUCACAAUCGUGUCCGUAAAUGUAGUAAACUACCAUUUUAUAAAUUAUAACAAAACGCACAACAUGUAGCUCUUGACAGUGAAAAAAAAACACUGACCAAAAUUUGAAUCUCGUUUUGACGUGGCAAAUCAUACACGUGACAAAGGGAUAUACAACGCUGACAAACAUCUUCUUCGGUUUGGAUCACCAUUACGGCCUCCUCUGAUGUGUGUGGUGGUUGGUGGGGUGAUUAUUGUGUAGGCUUUAGAGCGAUAGACGAUGCAUCGGGUCUUCGUUUUAUCCUGGAGGAGCUCACCCUUGGUCAUAUAGGCGUGCAGUGGUUGGGUCCAGUCUUGGGUGUGGAUCACCAAUACUGUCAUUGACCCAUCGACCGGAGUUGGUUUCUCGGGAAGUUGCGUCUGCAGCGGCUGACGAGAGGUCACGUCGAUCAGUGCCGCCCUCUGUCCGGUCACAUCGUUGUUGGGGAACGUAGCAGAAAUUCAAAAAUUUUCCUACGCGUCACCAAGAUCUAUCUAUGGAGAGACCAGCAACGAGUAGAAGGAGAGUGCAUCUACAUACCCUUGUAGAUCGCUAAGCGGAAGCGUUCAAGUGAACGGGGUUGAUGGAGUCGUACUCGUCGUGAUUCAGAUCACCGAUGAUCAAGUGCCGAACGGACGGCACCUCCGCGUUCAACACACGUACGGGACGGGAGACGUCUCCUCCUUCUUGAUCCAGCAAGGGGGAAGGAGAGGUUGAUGAAGAUCCAGCAGCACGACGGCGUGGUGGUGGAUGCAGGGCGUCACAGCAGCAGGGCUUCGCCAAUACUACGAGGGAGAGACGUAACGGGGAGAGAGGGAGGCGCCAGGGGCUGGUGUAUGGAGGCCCUCCUCUCCCCCACUAUAUAUAGGGGUGCCAAGGGGGGGGNNNNNNNNNNNNNNNNNNNNNNNNNNNNNNNNNNNNNNNNNNNNNNNNNNNNNNNNNNNNNNNNNNNNNNNNNNNNNNNNNNNNNNNNNNNNNNNNNNNNNNNNNNNNNNNNNNNNNNNNNNNNNNNNNNNNNNNNNNNNNNNNNNNNNNNNNNNNNNNNNNNNNNNNNNNNNNNNNNNNNNNNNNNNNNNNNNNNNNNNNNNNNNNNNNNNNNNNNNNNNNNNNNNNNNNNNNNNNNNNNNNNNNNNNNNNNNNNNNNNNNNNNNNNNNNNNNNNNNNNNNNNNNNNNNNNNNNNNNNNNNNNNGGUUUCUGCAUAUACGUAUCUUCAUAACCCUAGCGUCACCGAACCUUAAGUGUGUAGACCCUACGGGUUCGGGAGACAUGUAGACAUGACCGAGACGCUCUCAGUCAAUAACCAGCAGCGGGAUCUGGAUACCCAUGAUGGCUCCCACAUGUUCCACGAUGAUCUCAUCGGAUGAACCACGAUGUCAAGGACUCAAUCGAUCCCGUAUACAAUUCCCUUUGUCUAGCGGUAUUUUACUUGCCCGAGAUUCGAUCGACGGUAUACCGAUACCUUGUUCAAUCUCGUUACCGGCAAGUCACUUUACUCGUUCCGUAACACAUCAUCCCGUGAUCAACUCCUUGGUCACAUUGCGCAUAUGAUGAUGUCCUACCGAGUGGGCCCAGAGAUACCUCUCCGUUUACACGGAGUGACAAAUCCCAGUCUCGAUCCGUGCCAACCCAACAGACACUUUCGGAGAUACCUGUAAUGCACCUUUAUAGCCACCCAGUUACGUUGUGACGUUUGAUACACCCAAAGCACUCCUACGGUAUCCAGGAGUUACACGAUCUCAUGGUCAAAGGAAGAGAUACUUGACAUUGGCAAAGCUCUAGCAAACGAACUACACGAUCUUUGUGCUAUGCUUAGGAUUGGGUCUUGUCCAUCACAUCAUUCUCCUAAUGAUGUGAUCCCGUUAUCAACGACAUCCAAUGUCCAUAGCCAGGAAACCAUGACUAUCUGUUGAUCACAACGAGCUAGUCAACUAGAGGCUUACUAGGGACAUAUUGUGGUCUAUGUAUUCACACGUGUAUUACGAUUUCCGGAUAAUACAGUUAUAGCAUGAAUAAAAGACAAUUAUCAUGAACAAGGAAAUAUAAUAAUGAUACUUUUAUUAUUGCCUCUAGGGCAUAUUUCCAACAGUCUCCCACUUGCACUAGAGUCAAUAAUCUAGUUCACAUAGCCAUGUGAUUAACACUCACAGGUCACAUCGCCAUGUGACUAAUACCCAAGAGUUUACUAGAGUCAGUAGUCUAGUUCACAUCACUAUGUGAUUAACACUCAAUGAGUUUUAUGUUUGAUCAUGUUGCUUGUGAGAGAGGUUUUAGUCAACGGGUCUGAACCUUUCAGAUCCGUGUGUGCUUUACAAAUCUCUAUGUCAUCUCCUAGAUGCAGCUACCACGCUCUAUUUGGAGCUAUUCCAAACAACUGUUCUACUUGGAGCUAUUCUAAAUUAUUGCUCCAUUAUAUGUAUCCGGUCUCUCUACUCAGAGCUAUCCGGAUAGGUGUCAAGCUUGCAUCGUCGUAACCUUUACGACAAACUCUUUUACCACCUCCAUAAUCGAGAAAAUUCCUUAGUCCACUAGUUACUAAGGAUAACUUUGACCGCUGUCCUGUGAGCCAUUCUUGGAUCACUCUUGUACCCCUUGACUGACUCAUGGCAAGGCACACUUCAGGUGCGGUACACAGCAUAGCAUACUGAAGAGCCUACGUCUUAAGCAUAGGGGACGAUCUUCGUCCUUUCUCUCUUUUCUGCCGUGGUCGAGCUUUAAGUCUUAACUUCGUACCUUACAACUCAGGCAAGAACUCCUUCUUUGACUGGUCCAUCUUGAACACCUUCAAGAUCACGUCAAGGUAUGUGCUCAUUUGAAAGUAUUAUUAAGCAUUUUGAUCUAUCCUUAUAGAUCUUGAUGCUUAAUGUUCAAGUAGCUUAAUCCAGGCUUUCUAUUGAAAAACACUUUCAAAAUAACCCUAUAUGCUUUCCAGAAAUUCUACAUCAUUUCUGAUCAAUAUGUAUUCAUCAGAAAUUCUAUAGUGCUCCCACUCACUUCUUUGGAAAUACAAGUUUCUCAUAAACUUUGUACAAACCCAAAAUCUUUGAUCAUCAUCAAAGCAUACAUUCCAACUCCGAGAUGCUCACUCCAGUCCUUAGAAGGAUCGCUGGAGCUAGCAUACCUUUUAGCAUCCUUAGGAUCGACAAAAGCUUUCUGAUUGUAUUACAUACAACCUUUCCUUACGAAAACUAGUAAGGAAACUUGUCUUGACAUCCAUCUGCCAGAUUUCAUAAAUGCAGCUAAUGCUAACAUGAUUCCGACGGACUUUAAGCAUCACUACGAGUGAGAAAAUCUCAUCGUAGUCAACUCCUUGAACUUGUCGGAAAACACUUCGCCACAAGUCGAGCUUCAUAGAUGGUGACAUUACCAUCCACGUCUGUAUUCUUCUUAAAAGAUCCAUUUAUCUCAAUGGAUUGCCGAUCAUCGGGCAAGUCCAUCAAAGUCCAUGCUUUGUUCUGAUAUAUGGAUACUAUCUCGGAUUUCAUGGCUUCUAACCAUUUGUCGGAAUUCGGGCCCACCAUCGCUUCUCCAUAGCUCGUAGGUUCAUUGUUGUCUAGCAACAUGACCUUCAAGACAGGAUCACCUUACCACUCCGAAGUAGUACGUGUCCUUGUCGUCCUACGAGGUUUGGUAGGGACUUGAUCCGAAGUUUCAUGAUCAAUAUCAUAAGCUUCCACUUCAAUUGGUGUAGGUGCCACAGGAACAACUUCCUGUGCCCUGCCACACACUAGUUGAAGAGACGGUUCAAUAACCUCAUCAAGUUUCCACCAUCCUCCCACUCAAUUCUUUCGAGAGAAACUUUUCCUCGAGAAAGGACCCGAUUCAAGAAACAAUCCAUAUUGCUUUCGGAUCUGAAUUAGGAAGUAUAACCAACUGUUUUGGGUUUCCUAUGAAGAUGCAUUUUAUCCGCUUUGGGUUCGAGCUUAUCAACCUGAAACUUUUUCAUAUAAGCGUCGCAGCCCCAAACUUUUAAGAAACGACAACUUAGGUUUCUCUAAACCAUAAUUCAUACGGUGUCAUCUCAUCGGAAUUACGUGGUGCCCUAUUUAAAGUGAAUGUGGUUGUCUCUAAUGCCUAACCCAUGAACAAUAGUGGUAAUUCGAUAAGAGACAUCAUGGUACGCACCAUAUCCAAUAUGGUGCAACUAUGAUGUUCGGACACACCAUCACAUUAUGGUGUUCCAGGCGGUAUUAAUUGCGAAACAAUUUCCACAAUGUCUUAAUUGUGUGCCAAAACUUGUAACUCAGAUAUUCAUCUCUAUGAUCAUAUCAUAGACAUUUUAUCCUCUUGUCACAAUGAUCUUCUACUUCACUCUGAAAUUACUUGAACCAUUCAAUAAUUAAGAGUUGUGUUUCAUCAAGUAAAUAUUCUCAACGUCUACUCGAAUCAUCUGUGAAGUAAGAACAUAACGAUAUUCACUGCAUGCCUCAGCAUUUAUUGGAUUGCACACAUCAAAAUGUGUUGCUUCCAACAAGUUGCUAUCUUGUUCCAUCUUACUGAAACCGAGGCUUUUCAGUCAUCUUGCCCAUGUGGUAUGAUUUGCAUAUCUCAAGUGAUUCAAAAUCAAGUGAGUUCAAACGGUCCAUUUGCAUGGAGUUUCUUCAUGCAUAUAUACCAAUAGAAAUGGUUUGCAUGUCUCAAACUUUUCAAAAAUGAGUGAGUCCAAAGAUCCAUCAACAUGGAGCUUCUUCAUGCGUUUUAUACCAUUAUGACUUACAUGGCAGUGCCACAAGUAAGUGGUACUAUCAUUACUAUCUUAUAUCUUUUGGCAUGAAAAUGUGUAUCACUGCGAUCAAGAUUCAAUAAACCAUUCCUUUAGGUGCAAGAGCACUUUAUUCAGGUUUAAUACUAAUCUUGAUGGUAGAGGGAGCGUGCGAUGUUUGAUCAUAUCAACAUUGGAAACACUUCCAAUACAUAUCGUCAGCUCACCUUUAGCUAGUCUCCGUUUAUUCCGUAGCUUUUAUUUCGAGUUACUAACACUUAGCAAUCGAACCGGUAUCUAAUACCCUGGUGCUACUAGGAGUACUAGUAAAGUACACAUUAACAUAAUGUAUAUCCAAUAUAGUUCUAUCGACCUUACCAGCCUUCUCAUCUACCAAGUAUCUAGGGUAAUUCCGCUCUAGUGACUGUUCCCCUUAUUACAGAAGCACUUAGUCUCGGGUUUGGGUUCAACCUUGGGUUUCUUCACUAGAGCAGCAGCUGAUUUGCCGUUUCAUGAAGUAUCCCUUCGUUCCCUUGCCCUUCUUGAAACUAGUGGUUUCAUCAACCAUCAACAAUUGAUGCUCCUUCUUGAUUUCUACUUUCGCGAUGUCAAACAACGCGAAUACCUCAAGGAUCAUGAUAUCUAUCCUUGAUAUGUUAUAGUUCAUCACGAAGCUCUAGCAGCUUGGUGGCAAUGACUUUGGAGAAACAUCACUAUCUCAUCUGGAGGAUCAACUCCCACUCGAUUCAAGUGAUUGUUGCACUCAGACAAUCUGAGCACAAGCUCAACGAUUGAGUUUUUCUCCCUUAGUUUGCAGGCUAAGAAAAUCGUCGGAGGUCUUAUACCUCUUGACAUGGGCACGAGCCUGAAAUCCCAAUUUCAGCCCUCGAAACAUCUCAUAUGUUCCGUGAUGUUUCGAAAAACGUCUUUGGUGCCUCUACUUAAACCAUUUAACUGAACUAUCACGUAGUUAUCAAAACGUGUAUGUCCGAUGUUCGCAGCAUCCACAAACGACGUUUGGGGUUCAGCAUAUUGAGCAGUGCAUUAAGGACAUAAGCUUUCUACUGUCCGCAUAAUUGCUACUAUCAACUUUCAACUAUAUUUUCUCUAGGAACAUAUCUAAAACAGUAGAACUAUAGCGUGAGCUACGACAUAAUUUGCAAAAGGUCUUUUGACUAUGUUCAAGAUAAUUAAGUUCAUCUUAUGAACUCCCGCUCAGAUAGACAUCCCUCUGGUCAUCUAAGUGAUUACAUGAUCCGAGUCAACUAGGCCGUGUCCGAUCAUCACGCGAGACGGACUAGUUAUCAUCGGUGAACAUCUUCAUGUUGAUCGUAUCUACUAUACGACUCAUGCUCGACCUUUCGGUCUCCGUGUUCCGAGGCCAUGUCUGCACAUGCUAGGCUCGUCAAGUUAACCCUAAGUGUUUUCGCUGUGUAAAACUGUCUUACACCCGUUGUAUGUGAACGUAAGAAUCCAUCACACCCGAUCAUCACGUGGUGCUUAGAAGCGACGAACUGUAGCAACGGUGCACAGUUAGGGGAGAACACUUCUUGAAAUUUUGUAAGGGAUCAUCUUAUUUACUACCGUCGUCCUAAGUAAACAAGAUGCAUAAACAUGAUAAACAUCACAUGCAAUCAAAUAGAGUAGUGACAUGAUAUGGCCAAUAUCAUAUAGCUCCUUUGAUCUUCAUCUUCGGGGCUCCAUGAUCAUCUUGUCACCGGCUUGACACCAUGAUCUCCAUCAUCAUGAUCUCCAUCAUCGUGUCUUCAUGAAGUUGUCACGCCAACGACUACUUCUACUUCUAUGACUAACGCGUUUAGCAAUAAAGUAAAGUAGUUUACAUGGCGUUCUUUAAUGACACGCAGGUCAUACAAUAAAUUAAGACAACUCCUAUGGCUCCUGCCGGUUGUCAUACUCAUCGACAUGCAAGUCGUGAAUCCUAUUACAAGAACAUGAUCAAUCUCAUACAUCACAUAUCAUUCAUCACAUUCUUCUGGCCAUAUCACAUCACAUAGCAUUCCCUGCAAAAACAAGUUAGACGUCCUCUAAUUGUUGUUGCAUGUUUUACGUGGCUGCUAUGGGUUUCUAGCAAGAACGUUUCUUACCUACGCAAAACCACAACGUGAUAUGCCAAUUUCUAUUUACCCUUCAUAAGGACCCUUUUCAUCGAAUCCGUUCCGACUAAAGUGGGAGAGACUGGCACCCGCUAGCCACCUUAUGCACCAAGUGCAUGUCAAUCGGUGGAACCUGUCUCACGUAAGAGUACGUGUAAGGUCGGUCCGGGCCGCUUCAUCCCACAAUACCGUCGAAACAAGAUUGGACUAGUAACGGUAAGCAUAUUGAACAACAUCAACGCCCACAACUACUUUGUGUUCUACUCGUGCAAAGAAUCUACGCAAUAGACCUAGCUCAUGAUGCCACUGUUGGGGAACGUAGCAGAAAUUCAAAAAUUUUCCUACGCGUCACCAAGAUCUAUCUAUGGAGAGACCAGCAACGAGUAGAAGGAGAGUGCAUCUACAUACCCUUGUAGAUCGCUAAGCGGAAGCGUUCAAGUGAACGGGGUUGAUGGAGUCGUACUCGUCGUGAUUCAGAUCACCGAUGAUCAAGUGCCGAACGGACGGCACCUCCGCGUUCAACACACGUACGGGACGGGAGACGUCUCCUCCUUCUUGAUCCAGCAAGGGGGAAGGAGAGGUUGAUGAAGAUCCAGCAGCACGACGGCGUGGUGGUGGAUGCAGGGCGUCACAGCAGCAGGGCUUCGCCAAUACUACGAGGGAGAGACGUAACGGGGAGAGAGGGAGGCGCCAGGGGCUGGUGUAUGGAGGCCCUCCUCUCCCCCACUAUAUAUAGGGGUGCCAAGGGGGGGGCGGCGGCCUAGGGGAGGUUUCCCUCCCCCCCAAGGCACCUAGGGGUGCCUUCCACCACUAGGACUCCUCCUAGGGGGAAACCCUAGGCGCAUGGGCCUAUAGGGGCUGGUGCCCUUGGCCCAUGAUGGCCAAGGCGCACCCCCUACAGCCCAUGUGGCCCCCCGGGACAGGUGGCCCCACCCGGUGGACCCCCGGGACCCUUCCGGUGGUCCCGGUACAAUACCGAUAACCCCGAAACUUGUCCCGGUGCCCGAAAUAGCACUUCCUAUAUAUAAUUCUUUACCUCCGGACCAUUUCGGAACUCCUCGUGAUGUCCGGGAUCUCAUCCGGGACUCCGAACAACAUUCGGGUUUCUGCAUAUACGUAUCUUCAUAACCCUAGCGUCACCGAACCUUAAGUGUGUAGACCCUACGGGUUCGGGAGACAUGUAGACAUGACCGAGACGCUCUCAGUCAAUAACCAGCAGCGGGAUCUGGAUACCCAUGAUGGCUCCCACAUGUUCCACGAUGAUCUCAUCGGAUGAACCACGAUGUCAAGGACUCAAUCGAUCCCGUAUACAAUUCCCUUUGUCUAGCGGUAUUUUACUUGCCCGAGAUUCGAUCGACGGUAUACCGAUACCUUGUUCAAUCUCGUUACCGGCAAGUCACUUUACUCGUUCCGUAACACAUCAUCCCGUGAUCAACUCCUUGGUCACAUUGCGCAUAUGAUGAUGUCCUACCGAGUGGGCCCAGAGAUACCUCUCCGUUUACACGGAGUGACAAAUCCCAGUCUCGAUCCGUGCCAACCCAACAGACACUUUCGGAGAUACCUGUAAUGCACCUUUAUAGCCACCCAGUUACGUUGUGACGUUUGAUACACCCAAAGCACUCCUACGGUAUCCAGGAGUUACACGAUCUCAUGGUCAAAGGAAGAGAUACUUGACAUUGGCAAAGCUCUAGCAAACGAACUACACGAUCUUUGUGCUAUGCUUAGGAUUGGGUCUUGUCCAUCACAUCAUUCUCCUAAUGAUGUGAUCCCGUUAUCAACGACAUCCAAUGUCCAUAGCCAGGAAACCAUGACUAUCUGUUGAUCACAACGAGCUAGUCAACUAGAGGCUUACUAGGGACAUAUUGUGGUCUAUGUAUUCACACGUGUAUUACGAUUUCCGGAUAAUACAGUUAUANNNNNNNNNNNNNNNNNNNNNNNNNNNNNNNNNNNNNNNNNNNNNNNNNNNNNNNNNNNNNNNNNNNNNNNNNNNNNNNNNNNNNNNNNNNNNNNNNNNNNNNNNNNNNNNNNNNNNNNNNNNNNNNNNNNNNNNNNNNNNNNNNNNNNNNNNNNNNNNNNNNNNNNNNNNNNNNNNNNNNNNNNNNNNNNNNNNNNNNNNNNNNNNNNNNNNNNNNNNNNNNNNNNNNNNNNNNNNNNNNNNNNNNNNNNNNNNNNNNNNNNNNNNNNNNNNNNNNNNNNNNNNNNNNNNNNNNNNNNNNNNNNNNNNNNNNNNNNNNNNNNNNNNNNNNNNNNNNNNNNNNNNNNNNNNNNNNNNNNNNNNNNNNNNNNNNNNNNNNNNNNNNNNNNNNNNNNNNNNNNNNNNNNNNNNNNNNNNNNNNNNNNNNNNNNNNNNNNNNNNNNNNNNGGGAGUAGUGGGAGAAAAUACGUCCGGACCGCACCGCGGACCGAUACAGGCGCGUUGGAUGGUUUCCGCGGUUCGGACAGCGCGAUCCAAACGAAUGCGGAAGGUUUGCAGGUCGAUGUUAGAGAUUCCCUUACAAAGGCUCUAAUAUUUAAUUAUGGGGUCAUAUAUGCGUUUACGUAGUGAAAGAUCAUGAACGACAAUUAAACUAGAUGACCCUACUAAUAGGAGUGCUACGGCCAACAACGACCUACUGUAGUUACCUAAGCCACUGCGGGAUGCAUGCAUGCGUGCGCGCACAGAGAGAAGCUAGCGAGCGGCCGAGCAUGCAUGCAGCGAUGCAGCCGGUCAGCAAUUAGCAAAUCUUAGUUAGGGACCAAACGCCAAGAUGUAUGGCGUUUCCUCCAAACGCCAAGGAGCAUGGCGUUUGGCUUUGUCACGUCAACACCAACUAAGCUCAUGCAGGCUAGGUCCAGACGCCAUGGACCAUGGCGUCUUCCGUGUAAGCCAAACGUCAAGGAUGUUGGCGUGACCAAAAAAAGUCAGAUUCGAACUUUUUUAACAAACGAGAUCAAUUCUGAAAUUUGUUAGCACAAAAGUUAAAGCAGAAAUUUUGUCCGAAUUGACAUGGUUGCACAACUUGGUCAUCUGUACGUACUAGUACAUACCUGGAUGAUGCCCCAGCCUGAUCAAGCAAGUCAGCGGCAACAGUAGUUUGAAGUUCUUUUCGGGCGUGCAUGGAAAGAGAGUGGGCUCUUCGCUGAGAUGUCAGUUCUUGUCGGGCCAUUCUGCAGAAUCUCGGUCUGGAGAAGCUGAAGCUGAAAAGAACUCGCCGUUCAACUGCUUACCCCAGAAUUCGCCAGAAUGCCUUUGAGAGCCGGAAUCUCCACUGAGCCCGAGCCCUAACUCGCAUUAUCAUCUCUGCCCGCUCGUGUUCACCCCUCUCUGUUAGGUUUCCCCCCAUCCCACCCAAGGGCGCCGCCGGCUGUCUCCACCCACCCCUCGCCGCCAGCUGUCUGCUCCGACUCCCCCCGCCCCUGGACGCUGGACAUCCAGUCCUCCACGUCCCUGGCCACCAGACCCUGCCUCGCCCGACCCCGACUCUGCCCCGCCCUCGCCGCCAGACGCCGCCGGUGAGCUCAUCUCCCUGUCUCCUCUCUGCUCCUCAUCUCUCCAUCCAUGUGCACAUCAGCCAGUUCCUCUUCGAGCCAUCACAUUGCACGCCGUACUCUAGCAGCUAAAUUAGUACAGUACGUCCAUGGGCCAUUCAUUCAUUAACCGGGCCUAGCGCGUGGCAUAGUACAGCACUAUUGUGGUUUUAGCGUGGAAUAGUGCAGUACAUCCGUGUGCUCUAGUGCUGAUGGAGAUGAUGGAUCAAGGUCAAUGCCGCUGCUAGUGGCAAUUUGUUGAUAAACCUGCUAGUUUCAGUUUGUUGGUAAAUCUGCUAGUGUCAAUUUGUUACAAAUAAUGUGCACCUUUGCUCGUAUCGUUUCAUUUAACGUGUAGUUGUGCUAUUUGGUUGCAGGUGCAUCCUCAAGCUGCUAAGUUUCGGUUUGCUGCAAUGGCAGAGGAGGAGAAAAUGACAGAGGAGUUUGAUGUUGGUUGUGUCACAAAUGAGCAUGCAAGGGUUCCAACUCCCACAUAUCAAGGUGGCCCGGCUCAAGUCGAUUCGGAAGGUGAUUCUGGCUCUGAAUGUGAGCACGUCCAAGUUACACAUCUCCCGAAUCGUGUAAAGAGCAGGAAGAAGAGGGCAUGUCCUUAUUCGCGUAUGGUGGCAAGUGAGAUUGCUAAAAACAAGGCACUUGUGCGCAUGGUGGAAAUUUUUGAGGCAAGGGAAAAGAGAGUGACAAAUCAAUGUGCAAAAGAGAUUGUGGAUCCAACAAGACAGGAGAUUCACGACAUGAUGGCCAUGGUGAUUGCAGACGGAGCCAAACCUGGGAGUGAUGAGCAUUUCUAUGCUUCACAUCUUUUGUUGGAAAAGAAGAAUCGUGAUGUUUUUACCUCGUUUAAGGGUCACAAACCUAGUGAGAGGCUUGCAUGGAUAAGGAGGAUGUGGGAGCUCAACAGUAAGUAGAAUCUCUAUGCUUUAAAUGCUUUGAACCAAACUAUUUGCUUUCAACUUGUACCGUUAUGAACUACUCCCUCCGUCCCAAAAUAAGUGACUCAAAAGUGACUCAACUUUAUACUAAAGUUAGUACAAAGUUGAGUCAUUUUUGAGUCACUUAUUUUGGGACGGAGGGAGUAUGUUAUUUGAUUCGAACAUCUCUUUGUUGCUCGUAUUCAAGGCAAACCGGUUUGAAACAACUAUGUGUUGGCAGUUCAACAUACAACUUUAGUGCAGGGGAUUAUAGAUAUUGUAGCGCACAACCCGUACAAUAAUCUUAGACUACAAUUUCCGAAAAGAACUACAUGGUUGAUUCUGCACAAAGCUGGUUCUGUGGGCAAUUUUUCAUAAUCUAACUUUGGAGAAUAUGGAGGGUUCACACAACACUCCAGAUUAGCAAGGGGGAGAAGGGUGGUUGAGUGGUUGAGUGGACCAACAUGUCGUUUAUAGUGUCAGCCAGAAUUUUAGGCUGCUAGAUCUUCAUCCAACGUUUGGGAUCGCGUGGCAAAUGUUCUUCUUCAACCUCUAUUUUCUUCCUCCCCGCGUGGUUUUCCCUCUCCCAUGUCGUCCCCCAGCCCCAUCCGCCGACUUAUGCCCAUGCGUGCUGCCUUGCCCUCCCCACACGGUCGUGCUUCCCCGCGGCCCAAGGCCAUCCCUCUCAGGGCUCCCCCUGACCUCCUGUUUCAGCGUUGACAACCCCCACACCUGCCAACCUGCUUCCUCCCCUCAAGACGCCACAGCUUACUACCGCACACGAACGUCGUCUCCGUCCCCCGCGAGGUCCUAGUUCGGCCUCGCGGGGGUUGACACUGGUCGCUGUGCUCCUCAUGGCCCCCAUCUUCUGCUUCGGUGGAAUCAACUAGCUCUUGUGAAAUUUGCAGUUACCUGAUGUUUAGCAAACCCAUUAAUUAUAAGAUUGGAUACGUUGGCCAUGGUGGUGCUUUCAAUGGGGAUGCCAUGACAUCUCAACAGCAUCUUGUCCAUGCUAUCGGGGUGCCAUGAAAGCACAAGCCAUGGGAGACAUAUAAUUCGAAUCAUAGGUUAGACCAGGUAGUGAUGGUCAUGCACAGAGAUGAGUGUUAGAAAUACUACUUUAAGAUUAUUGUAAUAGGAUCAUUUGCCUAGCAUUAAAUCACCCACAUAUGAUUAACAGAGAGGUUCGUGAGAUCUUACAGGCUUUCUCGUUGCAGGCACAACAUAGCCCAUGAACUCCAGUGGCGAGGAUGAGCAACAGCAGUGGUGCCGCAGUGAUGUAGUCGUGGAGAGGCAGCAACUCAUCCAGGAGCUUCGCCGGUGGCAGCAGGAAGCCGCCGACACAGCCUUGCGGCGGCCAGAGGUGGAAACGGCCUUCUGAUCCCCUUAGCUCCCCUUUUUUAGGAUCGAUAGUUGAGGUCAUGGUAAAACUUACCUGUACGUGAUGGAUCACACAUACAGGAGAGGAAGUACCUCUCUUUUAUACGUGGGGCUAGGGAACAGGGACCGAAACCAAUAGGUUGUUUGCACCCUGGAUCACAGUGUGUGCGUGAGAGCGGUAUGGUGGGCCACACCCCAACUUUUCUCUCGAUUGUUAGACGAGAUCAAUUCCAACAAUGAGUACCCAUGAAGUGAAAGGUUCUCACGUCAGUUCCUUUCCUCGAAACUGGAAGGAAGCACUCCUCAUCUAAUAAAACAAGAACAUCAAUAAAGGAGGAUCAUAUGAAUUCACUUGAUAUCACAGUUGGCGCAAGAUGCCUCCCUAACUUGCUAAUCGUUCUGAUUUCCUGUGGUGGAGCUCCUAGUCAAGGUUCGUGUUAUCCGGCGAUCUCUUGGCUUGCAUUGACCCAAUAUCUCGCCCCUUCUAUCGGAGCAUGCAGUCAUGCUAUGACACUCAUUGAUUGCGGAUUCUCCUGUAUCACGUUGUGGGGAUCGAAACAGACGGGUGCUCUCGGUAGCUCACAAAGUAUUGGUAUUGUGAUACCCACGGAUGACACCCCACAUCUACUUGUGCCUCUUGUGGUGGUGGUGCCAUAGACUGCUGGCUGGGAUGAGCCUCGUCAUGGGCACCCAACUUUAUCAUCUUUCUUUCCCCCUUGUUACUUGUAUGUUUUUUGCCCGAUUCUUUUACAAAAGAAGUCAUUUUUUUCAGUUUUCGAUCUGGUUUCCCUUAUAAAAUGAAUCAGUCUCUUGGCAUAAAUGCCCAAUUUGAGUAAUAUAUUCGGGUUGGGGAACUCCUCCCUCCCCUGAUUUCUCAAAAAAGUUCGCUUGAUAUUGAAAUUAUCAACAUACAAUGAUGAGACUGGUCAACAAAAUAAUACCAUCAAGUUCAAAGAAUAUAUUUGGUUGAAGAAGAACCGGAACAACAUACAAAUCAGCACUAAGUCUUAGCGCGACUUGCAUUUGCUGCCACAUGAACGAACAUAAACACUCCAUGAGAUAGACCAUACAAAGAAGGAGAUUUGCCUUAGCCACCAUUCGCAUCAAAUUUGUAAAGUAGUUUGGUUAUUUGCAGUGUUUUAGCCUUUAAUCACCACCGAUGGGUACAUGCGUGCAACUUUUUGCAGAGUUCAUGCUCCACCCACCUGACCUCCCAUUCCUUUUCAAUUCAUCUCCAAAUUAGAAUAUAGUAUAUCUUUUGAACUGAAAGUCUAAACCAUGAUUCGUUUGCAUAUUCAUGUUUGUUGCAACGAGUACCUUCGAACAAGACCAAUUUCGAAAAUUUUGAGAACCUUUAAACUUUUACCAAAUUUCAAAUAUUAAAACUUGAUAGUUGCAAGUUGCAAUAUCAAGUUUUUACUAAGUUUCACUAACUUUUACCAAGUUUUAUUCGCUUUUAGGGUUUAGGGUUUGGGGCUUAGGGCUUUGGGCUUGGGCUUUGGGUUUAGGGGCUUAGAGCUUAGGGUUUAGGGUUUUAGUUUUACAUUUCGAAACAUGGUUGAUUUAUCGUCAUUCCUAUAACGUUGGCACAAGUGUGUUAUCCCUUUUGAAGGCGUUUGCCGCAAGAUGGCGACUUAGUUGCAUGUGUCUUUUUGUUAGAUCUUGUGUCUUUGUUGGCCUUUAUGCACUUUGUUAUAAGGUAUUUUGGUCUCGUUGCCUUGCUUUUAUUUAAUAAGAUAAUGGCCGUGUGCAUACUAUGAUGCGAAGGUCAGUUGGUAUAACCUUCCCUUCAGAAGGGAACAAAAUCAUGUUAUUUUUUCUUUGAUAUACAAUUACACUGGAUUUCAUAGAAACUUUUUCAUCCGUUGUAAUUCUCUGAAGGGAAAAAAAUGCUUUCUUUGUACUACAUAAUCAAAUAUCGAAGAUGAUGUGACACUCUAAUCCUGCAUCCCCGAAUCAUGCAAAUCAAAUAGACCCUGAUUGAUGUACACAUUAGUAGUACAUGAUAGCUCUGAAUGCAUGGGCCCAAAUGGCUAAGCAAUCUUAUUGCAACCAAUGGUGUAGGUAGUGGCUAUGCAUCUCAUAGCGAGCUGCCAUUGGUGCAAGCAGGGUCUGGAGCCAUCAAGAAGUCCAGCAUGAUCUUGUUGAACCGAGCCGGGUCCUCGAGCUGUGGAGCAUGGCCCGUUUUCUUGAUGAUCUCCACUCUGGCUUUCCCAUCCAAAGAGCUGAAACCAAAGCGGAAAGAUCAGUACGUGACCAAUAUCUCAACGGAGACCGCCUGAUCAUAGAGGAAAUUAAGCACUCCUAUAGUACACGCGGUAAAAAAUGGUCCGUGUAGUAAAUGAUUUACACAUUUAUACGAGUACCUCUGGAUUCCAGAGGCCUUUUCGACGGGGAACAACUGAUCAUGCUCUCCCCAGACAAUCAACACUUCCUGCAUAUACAACGUCCCAAAAAGGUUAGGUGAGACAGAGUGUCUCAGUAAAUGCGGUAUUAGGUGAACAUACACACACGAAAAUACCUGAGACAAUGGUGUGACUUGAAACUUGUCGGUGCCGACGGUGAUCCCCUUGAAAAGAUGGGUGAGCUGCUCCCUGUUGUCCAUGAACAGUUUCUGACAGGAGGCAACAAGAUCAUCUGGUUCAGUGCUAUUCCUGUUCCUUAUCUCAGACCAACUCCACCACACGACCCUAUCCUGUCCGCCCCCGUCCGUUUGAGGUAAAAGGGGCAAAUAAGACGGCCCAACGCGCGACGGCCCGGACCCAUUUUGUCCGUUUUGUGUCCGGCCGACCCAUUUCGAGCGCAAACUUGCGCCAGUUUUGGGUCGCGGCGGACACCAAACGGACGCGCGCCUCGUCCGCGUCGGGGCCGCGUGGCAGGCGGCCACCUACCUCCCACCCGCCCACAUCAAUGCGCACGGGCGGGCGGCCCCACCUGUCAUCCGCACGUUGAAGGGUCGCCGUCCUUCUUUAAGUGGAAACCGUGGACCGGUCGUCGUCCACACUGCCGCAGGCCACCCCGCGGCCUCCUCGAAACCCGACAGCCCCAUGCCCAAACCCUAGCCAAGAACUCGCCGGCCGGCCGCCCGCAGCCAUGGGGCUCUGGAACUACGGCCGCAAAGGCAAGUACGACCGCGAGGCUGGCUCCUCGUCGGGGCGUCGCCGCGGCUCGGUGAAGAAGGAGGAGCCGGCCUCGCCAUCGCCACCACGCCGGGCCCCCUCGCCACCCGCGUUCUCCAUCGCCCCCGCGUCCGCCGGCGAGCGCGACCGGCACUACAUCCGCGCGUCGGUGUGCCGCCGUUAUUGGAAGACGAGGAUGCCGAUCCCCUGGAGCGACGCCCACCUCCCCAACAACUGGCACCUGUCAGCCGACCGCGUGCCGAUCCUGCCGGUCCCGGCGACCGGCCGUGCGCGCCGCGAGGAGAUCGAGCGCCGCCGCCGCCUCCUUCCGGACGACCUCUACUACGACCCCAGGUACGCCCCCGACUCGCCAUUGUGGGACACUUGGUUCCACGAUGAGCAUGACACGCGGCGGGCGUCCUUCUUCGCCGGCACGUCGACGGGGCCACGCCCAGAGCACUGAGCGGCUGCUCCCCAGGAGCGCGGGCGUAGGCUGGUGCGUGGCCUCACGCCCACGCCUUCGCCGUCGCCAUCUCCAUCGCCACCACCACCUCCUCGCAUGACGGCGGAGGAGGAGGCCUGUCUCGUGCAGCGUGUCAUGGAGGACUCCAUGAACACGCACGACGAGCGGCAAAUGGGACGGCUUGGAGGAGGCCAUGGCACUCUCUGCCGCCGGCGACGUGGCCUUCCCGGAGCUGCAGAUGGCGGCCUUGACGGAGGAGAGGAGGGAGGACGCGAUGGAGGAGGAGUCGUCGGCCGCGUUCCAACAGCUAAUGGGCCAGGGGUGGGCCUGGUCCUGCACUGCUCCGGAGAUGGCCGUCGGUGUGGGCGUGAACUGGCGCGCCACUCCGCCGCGGUCACCGGAGCGGGAGGCGUCGCCACGGGAGGAGGUGGUGCAGGCACCUCCCUCCGUCCAGCCCGCCCCCUUCUACCACGCACCGCCGGCCCACCUGUGGACGCCGCCGGACUACGUCGACCUCGUCAGUGACGACGACGACACCGGCGGCCGCUGAAGACGUCCACGGCGACGGUAUCGACGGGCACGGGCAGGAGCGCGCCGGCGGCGACCGUUUUUUUANNNNNNNNNNNNNNNNNNNNNNNNNNNNNNNNNNNNNNNNNNNNNNNNNNNNNNNNNNNNNNNNNNNNNNNNNNNNNNNNNNNNNNNNNNNNNNNNNNNNNNNNNNNNNNNNNNNNNNNNNNNNNNNNNNNNNNNNNNNNNNNNNNNNNNNNNNNNNNNNNNNNNNNNNNNNNNNNNNNNNNNNNNNNNNNNNNNNNNNNNNNNNNNNNNNNNNNNNNNNNNNNNNNNNNNNNNNNNNNNNNNNNNNNNNNNNNNNNNNNNNNNNNNNNNNNNNNNNNNNNNNNNNNNNNNNNNNNNNNNNNNNNNNNNNNNNNNNNNNNNNNNNNNNNNNNNUAUUGCUUUUCUGAGACGGACGUGAUUUGGGGUGCGGCCGCGCGGUGGGCGCACGCACAACCCAACAGACACAGCCGGACACGGGCGAACCCAUCGGCGCCCCAAAGGGACAAAAUCCGGCCAAUCCGGACGUCCGUUUGGGGUCGUGCGGUGGAGUUGGCCUCAUGUCCCCGAAGGGUACUACUCUUGGUUACAUCUACCGGCUCUACUGCCAUCUUUCGGGGGGCAAACCUCCUUUUCCAAAAAAAAAAAAAUCUACCGGCUCUACUGCCAUCUUUUAAGACCGAAAACACAGCUGAAAAAUAUAGGUGAAGUGGUGAAGUCCAAGGAUUCCGUAUUUUUCGAGGGAAGGGAGAAGGCAAGAGCACGAACGCUGUUGCAUCGGCGUUACUGCAGUGCGCUUGCGUUGUCUGUUUCGAUCGGACGUAUAAAUGCUUACGAAAUCUGGCAACAAGGAAGUAAAUGUUCACAUUACCACUAGUAGAUUUGAUUGUUAGGCGGGCAGGAGGUGUCGCCUAGGCCUAGUACAGCGUUGUGCUUGGAAGUUCUGGUGUCAGUUGAAGCCUCACAAGUCACAACACAAUGUUCUUCUGGUUUCCAAGUUGAAGCGUGCUUCUGGUUUCCCAGGUUUUGCUUUUGUCCCGGCAAGAUGUGAAACAUAAAAUUAAAAAAAAAAACGAUGCACUGCUGACUGCCGCAUCUAUACUAGUAGUUUUUUUUUUCGUGAUGGCACCUAUAGUGUGUGCGGCAGGAUGAUAGGCUGACCUUGUUGACUGGCUUUUGCUUGCAAAUAACAUUCGAGACUUUCACUAAAAAGAAAGUCACAAGUGGCAUCUGUACACGCACGCACCUGGAUGAAGUCCCGGAGGACGAAGUCCGGCGUCAUCAUGGCCGGCGGGGGGCGGUACACGGCCAUCUCCAUCAGCCUCCUCAUGGCGGCGGGCUCGGCCGGCAGGAGCAGCUCGUGCGCGCCGCUCCACCCUUCGCCGGCCCUCUUCAGGAAGGCGCGGUCGUCGGCCGCCGUCUUGAGCAGGUCGGAGCUCGCGAUCACCACGGGGCCCACCCUCCGGGGCCCCGCCGCGCGCGCCAGCCAGUAGGCCACGAACCCGCCGUAGCUCGUGCCCGCCACGGCCACCCGCUUGCCCUUCAGCCCCUCCACCGAGUCCAGCAGCGCCGCGAGCGCCGCGGCCUGCGUGGCCUCGGACGGCGGCGGCGCCGAGGGCGAGUCCCAGGAGCUGCCGCCGAAGCCGAGCAGGUCCGGGACGAUGACGUGGAACUGGCGGGACAGCGGCCCCACCUGGCAGCGCCACUGCCAGGUGGCCCGAGGGCCGAAGCCGUGAAUGAGCAGCAGUGGCGGCAGCCGCGGCUCCCCCGCCGGCGCCCAGUAGUGCAUGGUGCAGGUGCCCGACGAGCCGCCGUCGGGGUAGGGGAGCGUGACCGAGUGGGGGCGGAGGCCGGCGGCGAGGAACUCGCGCCGGGCGAAGUAGUCGAUGAGCGGCACGACGCUGAGGCUGGCCCCCAUGGUGGCUCUAAGCGCCCCUGGCCGAUCAGGCAGAGCAGCAGCACGGCCGCUGAUGCCGCGUCAAGUUCUUGGUGUGCAGCUGUGCAUGGAAAGAGAGUGAGAACGCCACUGAUGUAUAGCGAUGUGCUGGUGGAGCUUAGCUUAAAGGUAGGGGUUCGUUCUGGUGGGAGAAAGGGAGGGUUCACAGCAUCCCGGGAUUGCAAGGGAAGAAGGCCGGUGGUUGAGUGGACCUUGAUUAUACCAUCCGAAUAGUCGGCUAUGGUGGCGCUUUCAAUUGGGCCUCGAUGACAUCUCAGCACUCAGCAGCAUCUACACUCGCCAAACCGCCAUGCUGUGUGAUAGAGGACUAUGUCCCUGUUAAACAGAUACAAGUUGAGCUAGAUUAGGCAAUGAUAUGCAGACGAGAAAUGUAGCCGUCAAGUGGAAGAUUCCGGAUUCGUUUCUUUGGACCGGAAGGAAGCACUGCACUGCACUCGGCAAAAGAAGAAGAAGAAGAACAAUAAAAGGUUGUUUGCGUUCGCGUGCAAUACAAACUGUGAAGUUAUGUAUGCAUCAAGUGGGCAGAUUGCAACAAAAUAACCCCAAAAUCAGCAUCAAAGUAUAUUUGGUGUAGGCAAGAACCACCCAACGAUUAAGAAGAUGCGGCCUGAAGCUUGACGCGACGUGCACUUGCAGCCACGGGAAAGAACAGAAAACAGUCUGUGAGGCAGGCCAGCAGGCAACCACACAGAAACAAAACAACUUUACGUAGUAGUACUCUUGUUCCAGCUAGGACAUGGCGUGGCGUAGACGCACUCAUGAACAAGCUUGCAAAGUCGCUGUUGCAUGCAAACUGUUAGACUGUAUAGUCUCUGUAGUUGUAUACGUACAUAUACGUAUGAUGUAACUUGUAUCCGUUUGUUAUAUAUAUGUGAGAUAGGCCACCCCUAGAGGGUUGAGCCGGUUCCCCCAACUCUAUUGUCUUACAUGGUAUCACGCUAGGUCAACACGCUUCCGCUCAAACCCUAAACCCCGCCGCCGUUUGUCUGUGCGCCGCUGCCGCCGUCCCUGAGAUCGCGCCGCCGCUGCCCCAGCUAUGUCGGGCUCUGCCGCCUCCGGCUCCCCCAUGGCUAGCUUCUUGCCGGCCUCUCUCGCGGCCCUCCUGUCCCGACCCAUCGACGCCGCUGCGGUCUCCACCGCCCCGAUCGAGACGAGGAGCCUCGGGUCCUUUUUCUCCUCGUCUCCGGGGCUCCCGAUCGUGCCGUCUACCGCGGGCGCUCCCUCGUCCGAGACUCGCAGCGACGCGCCGCUCGCCCCGAGUGGGGGCCAGCCGCCGAUCGCCCCGUCUCCCUCGCCCGCUUCCCGCAGCGACGCCCCGCUCGCCCCGCCUGGGGGCCAGCCGCCGAUCGCCUCGACUGGUGGGGGCUCGGCCCUCACCCUGGUGGCGCCCCCGUCGGCCAUGAUGGCGGGGUUUGCUGCUGCGGGCUCGGCCUCUUCGUCAUCUGUUCCUGCAGUCGCGACGGUGGCUGCAACCGCGGCCUCUGCCUCUACGGUGUAUCCGCCUCCGGCAGUCUACUCCGCGGGCUCCUCGCCGCCGCCGCCGUUUCACUUUGGGAACCUCAUCACCAUCAAGCUGUCCGCAGACAACUACAUCUUCUGGCGUGCGCAGGUUCUUCCGCUUCUCGGGAGUCAUUAUCUCCUGGGCUACGUCGACGGUUCUCUCCCCUGUCCCCCUGCGCUGGUGGAUAGCGUGCACGGCCCGGUCUACAAUCCGGCGCACCGUGUUUGGACAGGGCAGGACCAGGCGAACCUCUCCUCCAUCCAGGGGUCGCUCACUCCGGCGGUUGCCGGACUUGUUGUCUUCGCCAAGACUUCUCAUGAGGCAUGGACCAUCCUCGAGCGCUCGUUUGCAGCGCAGUCGCAGGCCCGUGUCUCCGCGCUUCGUCGCCAGCUUGGUGAGUGUCAAAAGCUGGAUUCUACGGCCACCGAGUUCUACAACAAGGUCAAGGGCCUUGCCGACACGUUGGCCUCCAUCGGCCAGCCCCUCACUGAUUCCGAGUUUAACUCGUUCAUUGUCAAUGCUCUCGAUGAGGAGUACGACGCCUUGGUCGAGAUCAUGAACGAGCGGGGCAACUCGAACCCCAUGAUGGCGCAUGAGGUCUUUUCCCGCCUCCUUCUCACGGAACAGCGGGUCGAGUCGCGCCGCUCCAGGGCCAGUGGGGGCUCCCUCUCGGCCAACGCCGCCACCAAGGGUGGCCGCCCUUCUUCCUCAUCCAGGGCCUCUUCGGGGCUGCCAUCGCCGCCUGCAUCGGCCCCCCCUCCUACCGCGACAUUACCGGGGGUUGGUGGCAAGCGCGUAUGUCAGCUGUGUGGCAUUGAGGGGCACUGGUCCUCUAAGUGCCACAAGCGCUUUCAGAAGAGCUUUCUGGGUCUUGGCAAUGAUGGCAAGGACACGCGCAAUUUUGCGCGUCAGGUGGCCAUGGCGGAUCGCCCAGUGUCCACUAAGCAGCAGGGGCAUACUCAGUCCUACUCUGUUGAUCCUCACUGGUACAUGGACUCUGGGGCCACGGAGCAUCUGACGAGUGAGAUGGGCAAGCUCCAUACUCGUGAACCCUACCACGGCUCCGACAAAAUCCACACUGCCAAUGGAGCAGGUAUGCAUAUAUCUCAUAUUGGUCAAGCAUCUCUUCUCACUAGGCAUGCAAAUAGGAGUCUUCAACUUCGCAAUGUGCUUAGAGUUCCCUCUGUGACACGUAAUCUUCUUUCUGUUCCUAAACUUACACGUGAUAAUAAUGUGCUUUGUGAAUUUCAUCCUUUUGAUCUUUUUAUUAAGGAUCGGGGCACGAGGGACAUUCUUCUUAGCGGGCGGUUGUGCCAGGGACUCUAUCGUCUGGAGCAUCCUGCAGUCGCUCGCGUGUUCAGUGGAGUUCGGGUAUCUCCGUCACAGUGGCAUGCUCGUCUUGGUCACCCGGCCACACCUAUCGUUCGUCAUGUUUUGCGUCGUCAUGAGCUUCCUAGUGUGUCCAGUAAUAGAGAUGUAGCAGUGUGUGAUGCUUGUCAGCAGGGGAAGAGUCAUCAACUUCCUUUUUCAGAGUCUAGUCAUGAGGUGAAACAUCCUUUAGAACUUGUAUUUUCAGAUGUAUGGGGUCCUGCUCAGACUUCUGUCAGCGGUCAUAAUUAUUAUAUCAGUUUCGUUGAUGCUUAUAGUCGUUUUACCUGGCUUUAUCUUAUUAAACGCAAAUCUGAUGUGUUUGAUAUUGUUGUUCAGUUUCAAAAACAUGUUGAACGUCUUCUCAAGCACAAAAUUGUUCAUGUUCAAUCCGAUUGGGGGGGCGAAUAUCGCAACCUCGACUCCUUCUUUCAGUCGCUUGGGAUAGCUCAUCGUUUAGCAUGUCCACAUACACAUCAACAGAAUGGUUCUGUCGAACGUAAGCAUCGUCACAUUGUUGAAACUGGUCUUACUCUUUUGGCCCAUGCAUCAGUUCCGUUUCGAUUCUGGAGUGAUGCUCUCACCACUGCAUGUUUUCUCAUAAACCGUACUCCCACUCGUGUCUUGAAUAUGAAGACUCCCGUUGAGGUUCUCCUUAAUGAAUAACCUGAUUAUACAUUUUUUAAGGUCUUUGGGUGCGCUUGCUGGCCACAUCUCCGCCCAUACAACAAGCGCAAGCUUGAGUUUCGCUCCAAAAAGUGUGUUUUUCUAGGCUAUAGCUCUCUUCAUAAAGGGUACAAAUGUCUUCAUGUUCCCACCAAUCGUGUCUACAUAUCCCGGGAUGUCGUGUUUGAUGAGCAUGUUUUUCCAUUUGCCAAGCUUCCUGUGUCCACUGUUGAACCACCCUCCUUGCAUUCAUCCUCUGUUGCUGCUGACCAAUUGGAUGAUAUUGCAUACUCUCCUAUAUUGUUGCCUAACCAUGGUGCAGGCACUGGACGUGGGGCGCUUGGAAAUUCUGGAGGCGCCAGUGGCUCACGACGAUCAUGGUGAGUUGCAUGGCCUCGGCCCCCAUGCCCAUGCACGUCCGGUCGAUCUUCCCGCGACGCAUGCUUCUACGCCCAUGGACUCUGGGUCGGCCUCGCCGCUUCGGCCUGUCGCGACUACCGCACCAGAGGAGUCUGGGUCGGUCUCGCCUAGGCUGGUUUCCUCGCCAUGCAGACCGGUGGCCCCGUCGGCCUCGACACACCCGGCUCCUGAGCCGGCCUCGGUGCCAUGCAGCCCGGUGGCCCCGUCGGCCUCGGCGCCCCUGGCCUCGCUGCGUUGCUCGCCGCCCUCGGUGCCUCUGGCUUCUGAGCCAGCCUCGCCACCUUGCUCGGUCACGCCGGCCUUGUCGCUUCCUCGGCCUUCCUCGCUGGUUACGCCUGGGCCAAGCUCACCGGUCUCCGAUGUGCCCUCACCGGCGCUCUCCGAGGUCUCUCCGUCGUCAGCCGAGCUGUCCUCGCCAUCGUCGCCAUCAUCACCAGAGUCCUCUCCGGCUCCUGUACCUACUGUGCUCCCUCAGCGACCACAUACACGGAGUCGCAGUGGCAUCGUUCAGCCUAAACAGCGACAUGAUGGGACUGUUGCUUGGUUGGCUGCCUGUAUGGCUGCUACUCGUGCGGAUCCUUCCUCUGAACCGCGCACGUAUCAGGCUGCUUUGAGUCUACCUCAUUGGCGAGAGGCUAUGGAGCAGGAGUAUCAUGCUCUCCUUCGUAACAAGACAUGGACUCUUGUUCCGCCACCACCCCGUGUUAAUGUCAUUGACUCCAAAUGGGUUUUCAAAGUGAAGAAGCAUUCAGAUGGUUCUAUUGAGCGCUACAAGGCGCGGCUGGUUGCUCGAGGUUUUCGGCAGCAUUAUGGUCUUGAUUAUGAAGACACCUUCAGCCAGUGGUUAAACCUACUACUAUCAGGCUUCUUCUCUCUCUUGCAGUUACUCGGGGUUGGUCUCUUCAUCAGCUGGAUGUGCAGAAUGCUUUUCUCCAUGGUGUUCUUGAAGAGGAGGUAUAUAUGCGGCAGCCUCCAGGGUUCUCUGAUCCCGAUCGUCCUGAUUAUCUAUGUCGGCUUACUAAAGCACUCUAUGGUCUGAAGCAAGCUCCUCGUGCUUGGCAUGCUCGUCUUGCGACGGCCCUUCGUGCUCAUGGUUUUGCAUCCUCAGCUGCUGACUCCUCGUUGUUUCUUCUUCAGAGGCCUGCAGUUACCAUGUAUCUGCUUGUUUAUGUGGAUGAUAUUAUCCUUGUCAGUUCCUCUCAGUCGGCUGCUGAUGCUCUUGUUUGGUCUCUUGGUGCUGAUUUUGCGGUCAAAGAUCUUGGGCGGCUUCACUACUUUCUUGGAGUUGAGGUUGCUUCUGUGUCCAGUGGUCUGAUUAUGACGCAAAAGAAGUACUCCUUGGAUUUGUUACAGCGAGCUGCGAUGCUUAAGUGCAAACCGACUACUACACCUAUGUCUGCUACUGACAGGAUUACUGCUGUUGCUGGUGAUCUCCUGUCUUCUGCUGAUGCGACAUAGUACAGGAGUAUUGUUGGUGGUUUGCAGUACCUGACUAUCACACGUCUUGACAUCUCUUUUGCAGUUAACAGAGUAUGUCAGUAUCUUCAGGCACCUCGUGAUACUCAUUGGUCUGCAGUGAAGCGCAUCUUGCGCUACAUUCGUUUCACGUUGUCCUAUGGUUUGCACAUUCGACCGAAUCCCUCUGGGGUCAUCUCGGCGUAUUCUGAUGCGGAUUGGGCUGGCAGUCCAGAUGACAGGCGAUCCACGGGGGGCUAUGCUGUGUUCUUUGGUUCUACCUUGAUCGCCUGGAGUGCUCGGAAACAGGCUACUGUUUCACGUAGCAGUACUGAAGCUGAGUAUAAGGCUGUGGCUAAUGCAACUGCAGAAAUUAUCUGGAUACAGUCUUUGCUUCAGGAGUUGGGAAUAUCUCAGUCACAGUCUCCUAUUCUUUGGUGUGAUAACAUCGGUGCUACAUACCUAUCUGCUAAUCCGGUAUUCCAUGCCCGAACGAAACACAUUGAAGUGGACUAUCAUUUUGUACGGGAACGGGUAUCUCAGAAGCAACUACAGAUCAAGUUUAUCUCUUCCAAGGAUCAACUUGCGGACAUCUUCACCAAGCCAUUACCUCUUCCACAGUUUGAGACUUGUAGGCGCAAUCUUACCCUUCUAGAUUCUUUAGGAAGUGGCUAAGAUUGAGGGAGGGUGUUAGACUGUAUAGUCUCUGUAGUUGUAUACGUACAUAUACGUAUGAUGUAACUUGUACCCGUUUGUUAUAUAUAUGUGAGAUAGGCCACCCUAGAGGGUUGAGCCGGUUCCCCCAACUCUAUUGUCUUACACAAACCCACCCAAAUUCUAGCCCAUCAUCAAUAUUCAUUUCAAAAGUGUUUAAGAAACGUUUACUAUGCUUAUGACCAGUGAAGUGAACACCCUCUAAAAUGCAGUAGAAACACGGUGAAGCAGUAAACACACGGCGUAAAACGUGUAAACUCGCACUUGUUAACGAAAAUAUACAACAAAGUUCAGAGCCACCAUUCCACCCCAUUUUGAAUGGCCGGAGGCAUUCAGAUCACACCCUAUCUCUCUCCUUUUUUUCAAUAUUUUGAGCAGACAUUUAGACCAUAGUAGCUCUUCCUCUUUUUUACACAUUACAUUACAUGAUUAUACAUACCUAAAAGGAUUACAAUGUAGUGCACCAUUUGGGCCUCUGGGAUAACUCUGUGUAUGUUUUCCAGAGAGUACCGAUGCUCUGAGCAGGCUUCAGUUUCAGGUUGUGCCGAAUUCUGGCUCAUCCCGUUCAUCUAGGAAGAACGACUUGAUGAAACUGUUGACCUUGUCGGCCCCCUCCAACUGCAACGCGUGCCCUGCGUCCUUGAUGAUCUCUAGCCUGGAUUUCUUGCCUAGAUGCCUGCACUCGCCAACAGAAAACACAUACCGAUUCUUAUACAUCUUGUUGAAAUGAAAAGCAAUGUCGUCAGUAUAUAGAAUUCAUGGAACACUGUCCUGUUCUUUUUACCUGUGCAGUUUGUAGCCAAGAUCGACGGGGAACACCUGGUCCUUGUCUCCCCACAGAACCAGCGUUUUCUGCAGAGCACAAAUCGAACCACACAUGUUAUUUCUCAGAAAAAAAACAUCCAAAGGAAAGUGAUGAUGGAUCAAUGUUGCUUGGAAUGUGCGGCUGGCUGACCUGAGUGAGAGCCGGGAGGGGGUCGAUGCCGGCUCCGCUCCUGAGUAGUUCUUGCAGCAGCUCUGUUCUCUCCUUUCUCUGGUCCACGAACAUCAGCUGCAGCAAACACAGGGCAUACACUUCAGAAAUGGUGUAAAGUUCACCAAAUUAAUAUACAUGAUGAUGUGUUCUUUUUUUAUGGCGGGGACAUGAUGCUCUGUUAUUAGUUACCUCUUUCUACAUUUCCAUGCAAAGUUGGAGUCUGUACUGAAAUUUACGAGCAUGCUUUAAGAGAACUGAACUAAGAACAUUUCUGAAGUCUGCUCACCGACUUGUUUACGAGCACGUAUCUUAUGCAUGGGCAACCAAAUAGGCAAAAAAUCUGAUGUCGCAGGGUAAUUAAGAGGAGAGGGAGGAGUUUGAUGACCCUAGAAAGAAACGAUGCUAGGGACAUGUAUCUAGGCAAAAACAAAAUUUACAGUCUACGGCUAGCUAAUUAAAUGAAGGAAGCCCCAUGCAAAAUUAUUGGCAUAUGACUUGAUCGGACAGUGGCCAAUGGAAAAUGAUGCUAGCAUCCCAAGCUAGCGCCAGAAGACUGAAUUUGAGCGCUUGGGCCAGGCAAACAUCCAUGCCUAGUGCUUCAGCCAGGCUAAUGACCAUAAAAUGCUCCACGCCAGGCUUAUUCAGGGCAUCAACCAAACAACCUCCAGGCUAGGGAAGGUCCAGGCCAUACAAAUCUUUGCCAGGCUUCCAACCAAACAAUCCCUCUUAUCUUUGAGGCUUAAUUGGUUAGUUAAAUGUACGACGUCUAUAUCAAAAUCAUGAUUCCUUAAAAAUGUCAAUCAAUUUUUAAAAAUCAUGAUUCAAAAAGAUUAAUUCCCAAAAAUGUCCUUGGCUUUGAAAAAAUGUUCAGGAAUCUUUAAAAAAUCAAGAAAUAAAAAAUAUUCAUGAAGCUCAAAAGGUGUUCGUGGAUUUAAAAUUGUUCAUGAAUUUUUAAAAAUUAAUGAGUAAUAAAAUGUUCAGCAUAUAUUCGAAAAUUGUUCCAUAUGUGUUAAAAAAGUUCAACGUAUAAUUAAAAAAAUUAACGUCCAUUUAAAAAAUCAUGAAUAAACUAUUAUACUUAGAAAAAAUGAUUGUAAAAAGCUAAACAGGCUUCCGAAAACCUCUUUUUUUAGUGGUAAACCUUGUUUAUUAAUCAAGUACAAGGUUUACACACAAUUGGGUCAUGGGGUACUUCACUAACGCCAGUACCAACUUGGCUACUCCCUCCGUCUCGGUUUAUAGGGCGUGCACGUAGUUCUAGGUCAUCCAUUUGACUAACUAAAUAGUAUGAGUUAUAUGUCAAGUAUAAACUUCUUUUUAGCAACGUAGUUCUUGGCAAGUAUAAAAGUUGCUAAAAAGAGCCACACAACGUAGUUCUUGGUCAAGUAUAAACUUAUUAAUCAAGUAUAAACUUCUUUUUAGCAACUUUUGAUAUUGCCAAGUAUUGGCAGUGCCAAAUGUUGGUAUCAAACCAAUUAGCCUCCUAAUCCCCAAGUACAACAGGAUCAAUGUGGCAUUUUCCUUUUUUUUGGGAGAAUCGUAAUCAAGUCGGGGAUACAUUAUUGGCGGCACUGUCAGCCACGCCCGGCGACCGACCCACAUCGUUGGGGCAUUUUCCUAGCGCAGAUUUGAUCUGCGGCGGUGGACGGUAGCGGUGUCCGCUAGCGUUUUGGAUUUGGACGGAUCGAUCAGCCACACAACGGUGCCACUGGCGACGUACGGCACGUGGCCCACGUACGCACGCACGGACCCAGCCGGGUGAGACCCAACAAGGAAACCGACGAGGUCGACACGUCCGUCCAGAUCUACCACUGUAGUAUACUGAGUACUUCCCCUGGCUUCCGGAGUGCUCCCAGCGAACUGAUUGAGUGAUCGACUAGUUACUGUUGUUUACAAUCCGCAGGCUUAACUUGAGCUCCGUCUACGUCUUGGCAGUUGGCACACGUGACCGGCUUAAGUGCAGCAACAGAGGUGGUACCUGCUGCUUGGUCUAGCACUUGCGUGUACGGCUGAAACGUGCACGCGCGCGCUCGCUCCAUACGCUAAUGCAUGCUUGCAAGCUGCAAAUGAUGUUGCCUGCUGCGUGCGCCAUGCAUGGAUCGGCCGGACCCCAAGCGCUGCGCUGGCGUGGCGAUCCUAGCUAGGCAAAACCAAGCGCGCGCGCGACACGCAACCAAACCACGUGAUGACUUAUAAUACUCCAGUUAGCUACUGGCAUCGUCAGAGACAAGUUAACCGUCGUGGUAAGUUUGUGACACGUCUGACGUCGAUCGCCUCUCAAAAGAGAAUAAUGGUUUGUGACACGUCGAGGAAAAGACAAUAUAGACACACCGUAACUUUUAUCAAAGUUACAAAAAAGGUUGGGCAAACACAUACUGUAGUAUGUACUGACCUGGAUGAAAUCGUGGAGCACGAAGUCCGGCAGCCAGGGCGGGGGGCGGUGCAUGGACCGGUGCACGAGCCGGCGCAGCCCGGCCGCGCUGUCCGGCAGCAGCGCGUCCUCCACGGCCAUCUCCUCCCGCGCCGCCAGCUCGCCCAUCUCCUGCACCGUGGCCGCGACGCCGCUGGUCAUGAUGACGACCCUGGCCACGCUGUCCCGGGCCUCCACGGCCGCCAGCCGGUACGCCACGAAGCCCCCGUAGCUGAUCCCGGCCACGUCGUACCGGCCCACGCCGAGGAGCCGCAUGGCGUCCGCGGCGCAGCGGGCCUGGAAGGCCACGGAGCGGAGCGGCGAGGCGGAGCGGGAGUGGGAGCCGAAGAAGACCAGGUCGGGCACGUAGAGGUGGAAGCUGCGGGAGAGCGCGGCGAGGUUGCGCGCCCACGUCCACUUGGCGUCGCCGCCGAAGCCGUGGAGGAGGAGCAGCGGCGGCUUGGCGGACGGCGAGGCGGGGCACCAGACGCGGAGCGUGGUGGCGUGCGGGCCGGGCAGGCGGAGGGUGACCGGGCGGAUGCGGAGGCGCGCGAGGAGGUGGAGCGUGAGCGCGGCGUCGCGGAAGGCGGCGAGGCGGAGGCGGAGGAGCAGCCGGAGGAGGAGCAGCGAGAGGGAGAGGAGCGCGAAGAGGGACGAGGUGGCCGCCGGGUGCUGCUUCGCGGCGGCGAGCGCGGCGGCGCCGGCCGCCGCCGCCGGUCCGGCGCGAGCUUGCAUGACGACGACGCGGGAGCGGGCUGGCUGGGUGGGCAGGCUGUAGCGCACAGCUUCUUUCUCGGCGCGGCCCCGAUGGAUCCGGAGGAGUCGCGACGUGUCUCGCGUGAAGUUCUGCGUACUGUUUUUAUAUAUGCGGCUCUUGCUCUUUCUGGUUGUAUACUAGUGCUACUGCUCGUGCUGAGCUCGAGUCGGAUACGGGUUCAAAAUCAAGCAGUGCGGCGUGACCCGUGGUAUAGCAAGAAACUCAAAGCUGCCUAGAGCUUAGCUCUAAGGGCGUGUUUGCUUACAUUGCAAAUCCAGUCUUGGCCCGGCGAGGCUGGCUCUAUCAAGCCGGUUUGAGGAGAUGCAGGCCAAAAAAUUCCAGAUGCACAUAGUUUGGUUGCCUGCAUGUCCCUAGUUGCAUGAGACAACCGUUUUCAAUCCGGCGUUUGGUUGCCCGCAUUGCAUUAGGCACACAUAUGACAUGGCAUUUGGUUGCAACCUGCAUAAGGUGUUGUCACCACUUUUUAACUAGUGGUGAGUUUAUCGCACAAAAUCUGAACAUGUAGGGCCAGAUACUUAAACAAAUGACAGUUCAUCCUAACUACUAUCAAAUGACAGUUCAAAUUAUUACGAGCCAUUGGCUAAAUAGGGGAUAGUUCAUCGGUGUUGCUGCUACCAGUUCUUCCUCUUCCUCUUCUUCUGCUUUUGCUUCUGCUGGUGCUUCUGCUAUUGUUGCUUCUUCUUCUUCUUCUUCUUCUUCUUCUUCUUCUUCUUCUUCUUCUUCUUCUUCUUCUUCUUCUUCUUCUAUCUUCUUCAAAUCCUGCACUGACCUCUGUUAAGCCACAUCGCCUCUGCCCACUUCAACCUUUUGUUCUUCCAAGCGUCAUUGUCAAAUGCCUUCAGACCAUGGUCGGAGCUAACAACGCAGUCAGGCUUGACCUCUUUCUCCUCAGGCACGUGUUCACCAAAGCCCCACUAGAGGAUCCAGUUAUGCAGAAUGCAACAAGCAAGAACUAGCUUAACCUGAGUGGAGUAUGGGUGGAAUGACUUCUGAUCCAGGAUCUUAAACCCAUUCUUCAGAGCUCCAAAUGCCCUCUCAACAGUUACUUUAAGGCUGGAGUGUCUGAGAUUAAACAGCUCAUGUGCAGUCCUAGGAUAGUUCCUACUAGAGAACUCGUUGAGAUGCUACCUGGUUUUCCUGAAGGGUGGAAGAAUACCCGGUCGACAUGCAUAGCCAGCAUCUCCAAGGUAGAACUUGUCGUCGGGGAUGUUGAUCCCAUCAGGCCGAUUCAUGCUAUCAGUGAGAAUGUUAGCAUCAUGCGCUGACCCCUCCCAGCCAGCCAGCACAUAUGUGAACUUCAGAUCAAAGUCAACAUCAACAAGCAUAUUCUGGCUUGUGUAAUGCUUCCUCCCCCUGUAUGCUGCAGACUGUGACCUAGGAACUCUGGCAGUGACAUGAGUAUCAUCUAUUGCCCCAAUGCAAUCCUGAAAAUGGCAUCACAAGCCUGUGUUAGUGCUCAACUUGAACAAUACAAUCAUAUCAAGCCAUGAAUAGUGUAUAUUGUCAAUGUUCACCUUGAAGUAUGGAUACCAUCUUGGGCUUCCGCGAAUCUUGGGUGGAGUCUGACCAGAUGGUCUCCUGAUCCUCUAAGCUACCCAAUAGCAAAAAACACUUACUUGAAGUACCUAGAGAUGGUCUCCAUUGAUCUCCUGAACGUGUUGUGAAUGACCCUGAACCUCUGGUUAUGACCAACAUCACGGAGGAACAUGGCCACUUGCUCUUCGACACUGGUGUUGAUGCUACCUUGUAGCAGCCCCCUACUCCUGAAGGUCUCGACAA
Molecule: long non-coding RNA, 54719 nt
Filed under: Triticum aestivum (bread wheat)
Lineage: Eukaryota; Viridiplantae; Streptophyta; Magnoliopsida; Poales; Poaceae
Description: long non-coding RNA (TAES_LNC003691)
Rfam family: MIR1120/MIR1122 microRNA precursor family (bases 35237-35352)
Source: RNAcentral